UCUGAGGGGGUUUCCUCGAAUUCAAAGCAAGUAUAAAAAUUCGAUUCUCCGACCUUUCCAAUGAGGAUCGAACAGGCCUUUUAUUAGAACCGUAUGAUAACUCCACACUGUUUUCAAAUAGUCAAUGUGAUCUAGAUUCUUCGUUAAUUUUUUCCACCUGACUGAUUGUUUACAAUUUUAUUUUUCACCGUCCCAAAUUUAAACCAUUUACGCGAUUCCCUGGAUUGCAUUUUUCUUUAAUGUUGACUUUACGAGGCAAUAGGACCCCCCAGCAACCCCACUAGGGCGACUUCAUGGGAACCAGAUUACUUUUGGAUCCAGAUAUGGUCCAGAAGAAAUAAGACAAAUCAAUUAAUGUCCACUAAAGUUUUGAUGGAACCCUUAGUCCGUGUUUCCUGUGGAUGUAUGUAUUGUAUGCACCUCAAUUUUCACCAAUCCCUGCUACGAGUCCCUUUAAUUUUGACGUUAUAAAUGUUUUUCCUGACAUUAGCAGAGUGUUUUUCUGCCGUCUUUGAGGACCUUCCACGGCCCAUAAACUAAUAAGGAUCGUCCAGUGAAUUUAGUCUUCCCCAGUUAAUUAUCCUGCGAGGGAAACUUGGGCAGUAAGUUGCCUACAUGAGUGGCUCCCGCCUACAUGAGUCAAGGGACCAUACGUCAGGACGACAACCAGUGUGGUCACACCAAAGUGGGUUGCCUGGACUCCAGGGUGGUCGCUUCAAAGUUGUCAAAUGAAGGCUAGCUUGGCAAGUUUUGGAAAACAAUUAUUGAAAAACAUUUUUCAUGAAUAACAGUUUCUAUGAACAGAUUUUAAGAAAGUUUAUUUUGUGAUUUUUAGGAAUAUUUUUAAUUUAAAUUUUUAUAUUUUUAAUUUUUUAUUAAUUUAUUGAUUAUUUAAUAUUAGCUUAAUUAAUGGAUUUUUCUUGGUCCCAAAUUAUUAAUUUAUCAAGAUUUAAUCGCAUCCAUAAUUAGUCUAAUUUCUUUUGGAGUGAGUGUGACAAAGUGCAAAUUUCUAGAGUUUUAUUAAUGUUAUUCAAUGUCAUAAUUUAACUAAUUAUAUUAAUUAUUUAUUAAUCAAAAUAAAUCAUUCACUUGAAAUAUGAUAAUUUAAAUUAAAAGUUUCAAUUAUUUAUUAAUUAGCAAAGUAUGAACUUUUCUUCUUGUUUUAUUAUUGUUAUUCCAUGUAUAUAAUUUAAUUAACUGUUUCCAAUAUUAAUCAAUAAAAAUAGAAUAUAAGCAUGAGAAGAAUUAGUAAAAUUCAUUGAUUUGGAAUUAGAUAGCUAGAGGAAGAACUUCAUCAUCUUCCCAUUACUUAAAUUUGUAUAAAUUCUAAAUAUUUAAACCCCCCCCCCCCCCCCCCCCCCCAAAAAAAAAAAAAAUGGUAAAGAAAGACUCCCCAAGCUUUCUUGGUUGGUGUUACCCUAAAAUUUGUACAAUAAGAUGAACCAUUUGGCUUAAAGCUUGGUGCGAAACCCCUUAUCAAUUGAAAAUAUCAAUGAAGUUGUUGAAUGGUUUUAGAGGACUAUUCUUAUGCAGAGUGGCAUAAGAAGCGAGGAGAUGAAGAGCGGAGAGACGUUAACAUCGGAUGCUGCUACGAAGGUGGGAAUACGGUUAAUUAAUUAGAUUUUGUGAUGGCUUUGAGUUUGAAGGAGUUAGUUUAAUGGGUAUUAUUAGUGAACUGAUAAUUGGAUUUGAUGUAAAGAAGGUUGGUCCAUUGGAUUAGCAAUUGGUUUGGCCUUUUGGGGGCCCCAUUUCCAAAUGCAUUGCCUUUUACAAGCAUUCAACAUCGCUGGACGUAACCAGGCUUGGUUCACCUAAAAGUAUCGCAUGGAUUGAAUUGACUAAGUUUUCAUUGUAGACUAGCCUUGAUUUUCCCUUGACCUGCCCACCAAAUCCUGAUGCCCACGCGAGGGAAUACCUCAAUUUUCUAAUAAUUUAUGCAGUUUCUCUUCAAAGCUCGUGUGAUCACUUGGGUCGGUAAAAUAAUGCAUUCCUCUACUUUUUCUCCCUUCCUAGAUGCAUGUUAUACCAUUAAUUCAAAUGUGAACAUGGGCUUGGCUUUGAAACUUGGUUCAAGGCCCAACAUGUUGACCCACAAUUGAGGUGUAAUUGAAUUUGUACACUUUUCGACUUUGAUACCAUUUGUCAUUACCAUUGACAUUGGGUCAUUGUUGAUUUUGAGUCCACAACUUUUAAGGUUGUUAUUACAAUUUUAAAUUGCGCCCACCCAAUUUAUAUGCAUUAUCCCUUAUAAAUACCGAUAACCUCUCUUUCUUCGAUAAUAUAAAAUGUCACAUAUAUUAUAUAUCUCAAUGUUUUCUUUUACUUUUUUUUUUUUUAUCGAUCGACAUUCUCUCUCAGAUGAUAUGAGAUGUCACAUAUAUUAUAUGUUUCAAUGUUUCUUUUACUUUUUCUCUUUUUCCUCAUGAUUGACAUUGUCUUUCUCAAAUGAUAUGAGUUGUCACAUAUAUUUUAUGUCUCAAUGUUUUCUUUAACUUUUUUUCUCUCUUCUUUAAUGAUCGACGUUCCUUUUCUCAGAUGAUAUGAAAUGUCAUAUAUAUUAUAUGGCUUAAUGUUUUCUUUUACUUAUUCUUUCUUUAUUAAUAAUCGACAUUUUAAGCAAUAUGUGAAUAUAAAGCAUUAAAAUUAUCUCCAUCGUUUUUGGAUGUGGUAUAAAUACACAAUUCUUAUUUUUGUUUUAAAUAUUUCUAUUGCUAUCUAUUGAAAUUUUAUGCAUGAAGCUACCAAGUUAAUUAUACAUAUAUCUUAAGAUUUUUUUUUUUUUUUUUUAUAGGAUAUAUUGUCCAUGAAUAUUUUCUGCAAUGGUAUCUUGUUUGAUUACUAUAAGAAAUAAUAUAUAUAUAUAUAUAUAUAUAUAUAUAUAUAUAUAUAUAUAUAUAUAUAUAUAUUAUAUUUCAAUGUUUCAUAUUUGCUUAAAAUAAAAAUUAUAUUUUAUCACAAUAUUUGGUAUUAAAAAAAAUGAAAUCUCUCUCAUUUAUUAUUACAAAAAAAUUAUAAUUUAUAAUUUUCUAAAUAAGUUUUAUUUAUUUGCUAACUAUAUUCAUGAUUAAAAGAUUUAAAAUUUAUAAAUAAAAAAUAUUAUGUCAUGUCAUUAAAUAAAUAAAAAUAUAUGUAUAUAUUAAAAUUAUGUUUUAUUGUAGCUUUUAAUAUUUUUUUUUUUAUUCUUUUCUUUUUUGAACUACAAUUUUAAUUUUUUUUAAUCAAAAUUUUUUAAUUUACAAAACGAGUAACAUAAAACUUGCCUUUGAACUUUAUUGGAAUGUUAUAUACUACCAUUUGGCUUUCAAGACAUUAGAAAAGGCAUAAGUGUCCCUUUUAUUUUUCCGAAAGGCAUAUUAGACUAUAGUAGGAAGUGUUGUAUAGAGGCAACUAAAAGUUGCCUUUAACUUUAUGAAGUCAUAUACUCCUCUUUGGCUUUGAUGACAUCAACUAGCAAAUUGGAUUUUGUUUCCUUUGCAACAUUUUUCCAUCCAUUAGCCAGUUUUUUUAUACUGUUUGGUGCUUGCCAACAUGGCACACACUAUGGUUCUUAAAAAGUAUUUUUUUUUUUAAGAUACUACGAAAUAAAAUACACGAUUGAAAGAUGAGUCACAAUAAUUUUCAAAACUAAAUUUUUUAAUAUUGUUAAGAAAAUUUGACCACCAAAUGAUUGAUUUUAAAUUACAAAUACUUUUGUUAGCUAAGAAAUUUGUUGUUCUAUUUGUUUCCCUAUAAAUAUGACAACAAUCAUAAAUAUUUUCAUUUUAAGAUAAUUUUCAAAUAUCUUCCAUUAAUAAUAUAAUAGAAUUAGGAAUUUUUUUUUUAGUUAUAACAAUCUAUAAUUAUUUAAGAGUCUUCCUCAAUCUCUAGGUUUAAGAACUUAUUGUUCUUAACAACUAACAUGUCAUCUCUUAAAAUAAUACAUUCUGCAAUAAUUAUUGAAAUAUGAUAUAAUAUAUAUAUCUACUUACAACCAUUUUUGUAGUACCAUUAGAAUUUUUAAUUACCCAUUCUAAAGUAUUUUUAUUCUCUAUUCUUAAACCAUCAAAAUUUAAUUUAAAUCUUUCAUUAAUUGGAUAAAUCCAAUGAAUCUAACAAGUUAAAGGAUUAUGAAUCCGACAAAACAGUUGAUAAUAAAUUAAUAAUGCCAUUAAUAUGAUUUUAAUGUGAAACACAAUUAUCACAUUUAAUACAGUUAGUCCUUGUAUGAUUAAUGUUUUGGAAGCUAAAAUCAAUCUUUUGACUAUAAUAAGAGUUUCUACUAUUUCUAUUUUUGGAUGAUUUUAUAUUUUUCUUAUUGUUUUAGUUUAAUACAAAAAAUAAAAAUAAAAUUACAUUAGUAGAAUUUUUUUAACUUACUCAAAAACCUAUUUUAGUUGAAUGAUUUUUUUAAAAAAAAUAUAAAUAUUUUGUUAAAAGGGAUAAAAUAACCUUACCUUGUGAAAAAGACCUCUUCACCCAAGAUUACUUGUUCAUAAUCCUUUUAAGACGAAAAUGCCCCCUUCCUAAAAAAUAUUUCAUCUUAAACUUAUUUUUCUUUUUAUUGCCCUUUGUUCCAUCCUUCCGGCUUGGGAGAGAAAUUCAUUCUUCUUUUGCGAAGAAAAAUUCCUAUUGCGAUUUUUCAUUUCAAGUGGAAAAAAAAAUUCUUAUUUCAUUUUAAAGAAAUUGUACAUUUUCAAUCUUUCUCUUUGUUCCUAGUUGAGGGUUUUUUUUGUAAUUUUAUCUUAACACUACAAAUUUAAAGGUGAGAUUAAAUCUUAAUGGUUAUUAGUUAAAUCACAUAUCUAACUUUGUUUUUGUCAGGACCUAUAAUAUGAUUGGAACCACCAUCCAAACUUCAUUAGGUGGGAUACUCCCCACCCUCCCCCUCCCCCCGCGAAAUCCUUGGAUUUUAGUUUUGACUUGGAUUUCAAUUGCCCGUAUCAAUUUUUCUUUAUUUAUUAAUUUAUUAAUUUUCAACUUUAACAAAAGCCUUGAAUCAUAUUUAAAUUCAAAUAACUUAAUCCUAAUUAAGUUCUUUUUAAAUAAAAAUUAAUCAUUGAAAAGUUCAUGUGACUAUUAUAAUUGAGAAUUUAUCCCAAGUUGGGUUUUUUGCAAAUAAAAUUUUAUUAUAGGACAUCAUGAUGCAACAUAACAUAAGGUUGUUACUUAAGUUUGUUUUGACCUUGUAAUAUGUUAAAAUGAAAAUGAAGCCAUUGUAACAGGAGAGAAUGAUGAAGCUGUGGAGAGAGCUUAACAAAGCUUGGGUUGGAGAGACUUCACAGGAAGAGAGAGAGAGAAAUAAAGGGUAAAAUUAUCAAAAGAGAAAAGAAAAAAAAAAAAAAAAAAGAAGGUUAUGUCUUCAAAUAAUCAAUAAGAGAUGUCAUUUUUCUAAUUUUCAAAGUUCUUUUGGUCCUUCUCUACAAAUAUCCCUAUAAAAAUAUUAUAAUAUCAAGUUAAUUUGUCAAUACCAAAAUUUAUAUUUUAUAUUAGGGCGACUAAAUAACAUAUAGAAAGAAUUUUAAAUGAGUAAAUCAAAUCAAUUUUGAAACCAAAACUUAAUAAUUACCAAACUUGUAAUCUUAGUCAUUAAAAGUGUACGAUGAAAUCUAAAUUAUUAAGCAAUGAAACAAAAAAUUAAGAUUAAAAUACAAAACGUUAAAAUCAAGAUACAAACUAUUAAAAUGUAAGUGGGAUAUGAGAUGAUAUUAUAAAAAAUAGUGUGAUCCAACAAAAAGUCUAGUACAUCAUUAUCUUCACUUCCAACCAUGUUUAAAAGGUCACAAGUUCUAGCGGUUUCCAAGGACAAUGUUAAAAAUAAUAAAAAUAAAUCCAAUUAAAUAUUAAUUAAUUUAUUUGAAUUUGAGUCCGACAAAAUAGUUGGUAAUAAGUUAAUAAUGCCAUUAAUAUGAUUUUAAUGUGAAACACAAUUAUCACAUUUAAUACCCGUUAGUCCUUGUAUGAUUAACUUUUUAGAAAUUAAUAUCAAUCUUUUGAUUAUAAUAAGAGUUUCUACUAUUUAUAUUUUUGGAUGAUUUUAUAUUUUUCUUAUUGUUUUAGUUUAAUACAAAAAAAUAAAAAUAAAAUUACAUUAGUAGAAUUUUUUUUAACUUAUUCAAAAAACCUAUUGUAAGGUGAAUGGUUUUUUUAUUUUUUUUUUAAAUAUAAAUAUUUUCUUAAAAGGGAUAAAAUAACCUUACCUUGUGAAAAAAGGCCUCUUCACCCAAAUUUACUUGUGCAUAAUCCUUUUCAGACGAAAAUGCCCCCUUCCUAAAAAAUAUUUCAUCUUAAACUUAUUUUUCAUUUUUAUAACCCUUUGUUCCAUCCUUAUGAUUUGGGAGAGGAAGUCAUUCUUCUCUUGUGAAGAAAAAAUUCCUACUGCCAUUUUUCAUUUCAAGUGAAGAAAAAUAUUUAUAUUUCAUUUUAAACAAAUUGUACAUUUUCAAUCUCUCUUUGUUCCUAGUUGAGGUUUUUUUUUUUUUUUUUUUUUUUUGUAAUUUUAUCUUAAUUGUACAAAUUCGAAGAUGAGAUUAAAUCUAUAAUGGUUAUUGGUUAAAUCACUUAUCUAACUUUGUUCUUGACAGAUCGUAUAAUAUGAUUGGAACCACCAUCCUAACUUUAUUAGGUGGGAUCCCUUUUUUUUUUUCCCCAAACCCUUGGAUUUUAGUUUUGACUUAUAUUUCAAUUGUCUGUAUCACUUUUUCUUUAUUUAUUAAUUUUCAACAAGUUCUUUAACAAAAGCCUUGAAUCAUAUUUAAAUUCAAAUAACUUAAUCCCCAUUAAGUUCUUUUUAAAUGAAACUUAAUCAUGUGAAAGUUCAUGUGACUAUUAUAAUUGAGAAUUUAUUCUUAGUUGGGUUUUUUGUAAAUAAAAUUUAGUUAUAGGACUGUGAUGAUCCGUUCUCAACCGUAUAAAUAUUGUUCGUUUUGAAUUCAAAAUAACUUUUACGGCUUUAAAACAUGUUUACAAGAUUAAGAGGAGUCCAUAUUUAUAUAGCUUCACGAACUUUCCCCCCUAUUCGAUGUGGGAUGUCACAAGGACAUCAUGAUGCAACGUAUAACAUAAGAUUGUUUCUUAAGUUUGUCUAACCUUGUAAUGUGUUAAAAUGAAGAUGAAGCCAUUAUAACAGAAGAGAAUGAUGAAGUUGUAGAGAGAGCUUAACAAAGCUUGGGUUGGAGAGACUUCAUAGGAAGAGAGAGAGAGAGAGAGAGAGAAAUAAAGGGUAAAAUUAUCAAAAAAGAAAAAAGAAAAAAAAGAGGGUGAUGUCUCCAAAUAAUCAAUAAGAGAUGUCAUUUUUCUAAUUUCAAAGUUCUUCUGGCCCUUCUCUACAAAUAUCCCUAUAAAAACAUUAUAAUAUCAAGUUAAUUUGUUGAUACCAAAAUUUAUAUAUUAUAUUAGGAUGACUAAAUAACAUAUAGAAAGAAUUUUAAAUGAGUAAAUCAAAUCAAUUUUGAAAUCAAAACUUAAUACCUACCAAACUUGUAAUCUUAGUCAUUUAAAGUGUUCCAUGAAAUCUAAAUUAUUAAGCAGUGAAACAAAAAAUAUAAGAUUAAAAUACAAAACGUUGAAAUCAAGAUUCAAACUAUUAAAACGUAAGUGGAGACGUAAGAUGAUGUCAUAAAAAAUAGUGGGAUCCAACAAAAAGUCUAUUAAUCAUUAUCUUCACUUCCAAUCAUGUUUAAAAGGUCACAAGUUCUAGCGGCUUUCAAGGACGAUGUUAAAAAUAAUAAAAAUAAAUCCAAUUAAAUAUUAAUUAAUUUAUUUGAACAAUAGAUAGGACCAAAAUAAUAUUCUAAAAGGAAUCAUAGGGAAGUCCUUGGACAACCUACGACAUUGAACAAAGGUACAGUGAGACAAUGCACUUAGCCCUUCCUUGUCAUUGCGAUGAAUAUAAAAAGACACCCUGAUUGAGGGUGCCCCACUAAGCCAAGAGUGAUUCUUUUGUAUUGUAUAACGUGAAUAUUUUUGAACUUUGAAUGACCCUUCCUAUAGUCAUCAUUGUCAAAACUAGAAAAUCAGAAAGAUGCGAUGUACGAAGGCACCAUUGAAUAAGAGGCUUAAUUCUCUUUGGCAAUUAGGAUAAAGUUUCAAAAUAGAAAAAUUAAACAAAUGUACAGUGUACGGACACUUGGGCAUUGCCUAUUUGUUUUGUUCUUCUAGAGUUGUAUAUGGUAAAGGUCAUAUUGGGUUGGUUCUAUUUGGUUAUUGAAGUCGGCUAGAAUAUUAGAUUUGGUUUCAAUCUAAUCCCAUAUGAUAUUAGAAUACCAGCCCAUACAGAAUUUUUGACCAAAUAUAAUAUUUCUUUUAAAUAUAAAUAUAGUAAUUAAUUUUAGUCUAAGAUUAAUUAUGUAGUUUCCUAAAGAGACCACUUCCUAAACGGUAGCUAUGUGGAAGUUGGGCCAGGUCCUGCCGAGAAGGUUUCCACGAGCUGAGCCCAAAACUGAGUAGCUGUGAUGGGAUCAUUCUAGCAUUCAGCCUGAAACUUGUAACAUAACGGAUCGAGAGGCCUGAACUCCAAGACCAUGGUUCGUCAGCCCAUUAACUUCAACAGCACGCAUUUUAGAGGACUGGGCUUGCAAGGGGUGAGGUUUCCGGGCCGCGACCCCAAAUAUGAACAGCCUCAGAAGUGAUAUUGCUUACUGGCACGUGAAGAGCGCAAGCGUAACUAGAAGAUUUGUAAUGCCGCUUUAAUUGUUUGAUUAUAGAAUCCCACGCAUUACGCAUGGAAAGUGUAAAAGAUAAAAGAUGUAGAAUUUUUUCUUAGAGAAAAGUUCGUUUGGAUAUAGUUAUUGUUUUUUUUUUAAAUAAUAAUUGUUUUUUUUAUAAAUUAUAGAUAAUCUUAGAAAUUUAUCUUUAAAAAAAUAGUUUUUAAAAAUAUUUAAGGAGAAUAAAAGUGAUAAAAAAAAACUUUACAAUUUCAAAUUUUUAAAAAAUGAAAAUUAUUUUUAAGAAUAUAAGUUAAUCUCCUGCAUUUAAAUCUUAGGUGGUUUUUGUUUUUUUUACUUUUCGCUGAAAACAAUUUGUUUUCAAAAUUUAGGUCAUUUGUUUUUUCUAUUUUUUCAUGAUUUAUUAUAAAUUUUUUACUAAAUAAAAAAAAUCAAAAUAUGUAACUUUUUCUAAAUAAAAAAAAUAACGUAUUGAUUUUUCUUUACUUUUUAAUACUUAAUAGAUAUAAAAUACUACAAAAACAAAAAAUCUAAUAUUUAACACUAUUAAGCAUUAAAGUUCUAUUUAGAAUUAAGUAAAAAAACAAACACCACCUUAUAUUUUAUAUAAAAGUUACUUAUAUUUUGGUUUUUGGAAAUAAAAAAUAUAAAGCAUAUCCAAACAUGAGCUUAGCUAUUUUAAAUCAUAUCAAAAUAAUAAUCCCAAUAAGGUAAAUGGACUUUUAUACGGAGAAUAAUCUUUAAGGUUUUCAUUUUUAUUGGAUUUUUUUUUUGUGGUGUUUUUUCAAUCCAUCUUCUCAAUUAAUUCCUUAAAAUUAUUUUACUGUUUUUUUUUUUUUCAGUUUCUAAAUAUUUGAUUUUUCCAAAAUGCUUAAAUGGAAGACACUAAUUUUUCAAGAUAUUUGGUAUUACAAUUUUCCCUGUUCUCCCUAUUAUCUAUCAGAUUCAUGGCCCUUUUGUUUUUUCAUUGGUUUUCAAUUUAAUUUUCCAAAUAUUACAUUGUUGUGUUUUGAAUUUGUGAAACCAAUUUUAUAUAUAUAUAUAGUAUGUAAGUCUACUUUGGGUAACAUGUACAGAGAGGUUUUCAUGUGUUUGAAACCUUUUACCUCAAAAAUUAAUUAUUUUUAAUUUUAUAAUAAAUCUUUUUUUAUUUUUUAUUUUAUUUAGGAAAGCCUAUAUUUAAACUACAUGUUUGCAACGCAACACCAUACAUACUCCUAGUGGAACUUACCUUAGUGCUUGAGGGGGAUGCAGAUCUUCUUCUAAACCUAACUAAUAAGCAUAAAAUUGUUCACUAAUUAGCAUAUCUAGUAAAUCAUACAAAUUGGCAAUAUUUCAUGUUUUUCAUGUUUUGUCAAUAAAAGGCGUCUUGACCAUUUUGUGAGUUUUGUAAUAAAUAAAAAAAAAAAAAAAAAAAGGGCAAAAGGUGACUAAAAUGAGGCACUUUGGAAAGGUUAAUAACCUAAAAGGAAGAUGAAUUAAUACCCCCUUAUUCCUCUUCAAAAACCAUUGAGAAAAUGCAAGAAAUGCUCUUAGUUGUAUGCUAGGCUAACAGCCUAGCAACCAUAAUACCCUUCUUUGCAAUUGUAAGCAUUUUUUUUUUUUUUUUGAAGGCCAAACAACGUUGCAAACUUCCCAAAUCCCUUCUUUAUUUUUUAUUUUUUUAUUUUUGUUUUUAGAAGGAGAAUGAAUUUGAUGACAAACUCCUUGUCAAUCUUAUCCAAACCACGAUCGAACAGAACUCCUUGUCAAUCUUAUCCAAACCGUGUUCCACCUCAAAAACAUGUGUAGGACUUAAGGCAGCAACUGGCAAGCAUGACUGAUAGGGCCAAGUGCCCUUGUCUCUACAAUCCAUUAAGUUAACCAAGGGCAGUGAACCAUCAUUCUUUUCAAAAGCUUCAUUCCGUGUUGAAAAUGUGAGACUGAAGCAUGGUGCCCCCAAAAAUAACGAUCUAUUUACUAGCAGCAUGCCUGGACCCAUUAAAAAUACUCUACUUUAGGAAUAGAAAAAAUUACAUCUUUAUCCAAUAAUUUUAUAACAAUUCAGACGUUUCAGUCUAUAAAUAAUUGUACAUAGUUGCCAACGUUUAGCUAGUUUCAAAUGAAUAGCCUAGGUUCAUGCACCAGUUUGGCUGGUGGAGGAAAGGGAUUCGAGACAUUGAACCCUCUUUUUAGUGUGCCAAAUAUUCCACAAAAAUCACUACCUUCUCUUUGUGUUUGUUCACUUUUAGUUUAUAUUUAAUAAAUCUAUGUUUUCGAGUAGAGGUUGGGUUCAGGUGCGACCCACGUCACCUCUCGGACGGUCUUGAAAAAGGAGACCGGACCACGUAAUUUCAAAUGUAGUGACCAUCUCACUUUUACCUCCAUCCUUGAAGAUGGUUUCCCAAAUCAAUAUUAAUCUUUUGUUUACGACAAUAUCGAUCACUUUAUGUCUAUAUCGUUGUUAAUUUACCUUUUUUUUUUAGCCACAUUAUUUGAAAAUUGAUGCAAACUUUACCAACAUCUUGGUACCAUUUUAAAAUAUUAGAGUUAUUUGAUUAAAAAAAUAAAAUAAUCUCGAUAACUUGUUUAUAAAAUAAAUAUCUUUUAACAUUUAGACUAUUCUCACGCAUGCUUUAAAAUUGUAAAGAUAUUCAUAAAGUGGAACUUUAGACUUAAUCAAUAUCGAUCACUUUAUGUCUCUAUUGUUGUUAUAUUUUUUUUUUACAACAUUAUUUGAAAAUUGAUGCAAACUUUACCAACAUCCUAAUACCAUUUUAAAAUAUUAGAGUUAUUUGAUUAAAAAAAUAAAAUAAUCCCGACAACUUGUUUAUAAAAUAAAUAUCUUUUAAUAUUUAGACUAUUUUCACCAUGCUUUAAAAUCAUAAAGAUAUUUAUAUUCAUAAAGUGGAACUUUAGACUUAAACAUGAUAAUAGUUUUUUUACAAUAUUAUAAUUAUUUUAUCGUUUUAAUUAAGCCCUUUAUCAUACAUAUAAAUGUAAAUUAAUGCUAAAUUUUUAAAGCAACGUAUAACCUUUUACAUCUUUUUUUAAGAUGGUGCGAAAAUCCUAUGAAAAAUAAUAAAAGUCGAUGCAUAAGAAGAUUGUUUUGAUAAUUCAAUAGAAAAAUUCUUUUAAAAUGAUAUUAAAAAAUACCCAUAGAGCCUUUAUUAAAAAAAUCAAUUAUUUUCAUAAUAAAAAUUAUAAUUUUUUAUUAUGUAUUAUUAUUUUUAAGUAUCUUUAUUACAAAUACUUUUUUUGAGUUUAUGAGAGGAAUCAACAGGUUGGUACAAGCUUAGGCGUCCUCGUACAUGUUCCCGCUGUGCAAGGUUUUUGUCUUGUUUCGAGCUAGUCGGAAUUUACGUGUUUGAUAACGUUUUGUCCUAUUUUUGUAACGCUUUAAAGGGCGGCCCACCGUUGGAACAGUUCAAGCCAUCCAAAUCAGCCCGGAGGGUUAUGGCGACGUGGCAUGACGCCUACCACCUUAGUUCACAUGAACCCUAUGAUCGUACUACCCUCACAUGACAUCUGUGAUUCUUCACCUCCAAACCCUCUUUAACUUGGUAAUGUAUUCAAAGCUUCAUCAAAUCAUAGCGAUUAGCGACCCUCUUCCACCCUAAUUUUAUAAUAAAAAAUAAAUCUUAGUGGACAUUAAAGUAGUAUUUUGUGGGGGGAAAGAAAAACUCUAUGGGCGUAUCCACUAAAUACGAGCCAAGUAUAAGAGUUAUCACCAUGGAAUCAAAUUAUGAAGCAUUGACAUUUUAAUUGUAUUCAGAUUUGAGGAGGGCACCGCGGCACCAGCUGGCCCAGUGUAGUCUGCUAGCCUACCCGCCAUAAUGACCAAAUUAAUAAAGUAAAAAGGAUUACAGGGAUAUUCCCAACUUUAUUCUGGGUCUGAGCUGGAACUUGGGAGUUAUCACGAUCAACGGGAAAGAUGGUGGGUAGGGGACGAGGAUUGAGGGCUCCAUAUUCACAUCAGUGAAAAACGAAAUGUAUUGAGACAAGUCUUCUAAGGAUUUUCUAGCGUAUUAUAUGGUUUAAAUGAUUAUAAAUCUGUAGUUACUGGUAAAGAGUAGAGAGUGAAGACGAAAGACGUUGAGUGAAAAGGAAGGAGGAGAGGGGAUGGGGCCAUCUUACCGUGUCGGGGAGGAUCCAUAAAAGGACUACGUUCCCUGAAUCUGUAGGCAUCAUGCCUCGCCUAACGGGUUAGUCAAAAUACAGUGAUGUGUGUGAGUUGGGGGCCUCACUCCUCAUUUCUUUCCUUCUUUUCACCCCCACCCCCACUUUUUUUUUUUUUUUUUCGAAUUUUUCUUUGUCCUUUUCUCUCACUUGCGCACGCGGGAGAAGGACCACAAACUAGACAAUUCCUCUGCUCACGUGACCCCGAGUUUUUAAAUAUUUGCCUAUUUGGAAAAUAGUCAUGAAUCAUGAUCGUUAACAAACAAUCUUCACUUUAUUUAUUUAAGAUCUAUUUUUUGGAGCUCUAGUUUAGUUUAUUAUUAUUAUUAUUAUUAUUAUUAUUAUUAUUAUUAUUAUUUAGUAACUCCUCUUAUAUUAAUGAAAAAGAGAGGAGGAAUCCAAACUUGUUUAUUCUUCCUCUUUUAAGGUGUUUGUUUUUUUUAUUUUAUUUUUAUGCUUCAUAUGUCUUCAAUUUCUUAGCAUUUGUCUUAUAUUUCUUCUUAUCCGAUUCAUUAUUGCAUCCUUGGUCAAUCUUUCACGAGGAGUGCCUACUUUUUUCCUUUUUAUUAUUUAAUUCACUUUAUCUUUAUAUUUUCCUUUUACACUUUAUUUCCAAUUCAAAACGUGUCAAAAAAAAAAAUUGGUAACAAAAAAAAAAAAAAAAAUCAAUUGUAAUGAUUCUUAUAUAAUUUUAUUUAAUUUUUAUUAAACAAUAAAGAAAUUAAAAAUAUAUAAAUUUUUAAAUAAUUAUUAUAGUCUUUCAUUUUUGUGUAUAAUUUCUUUUGCAAGAAAUAGUGUAGGCUUUCCACGGUCUAAAGGAAAUGGAAUAUCAAAUGAGAAGGUAAUAAUAAUAAAGUGAGUUAUAGAUACUAAUCAAACUAAUCCACUAAUGAAUUAUUUAUUUUUAUUUCACAUGGACAAAUCCUAAAAGUUGGAGUUCUAAUUUACUUUUAUGUUAAGCUUUUUUAAGUAAAAAUCUUUUAUUAUUAUAAUUUAUAGACAAAAAGAAACCCAUUAAUGUGAUGGAUAAAAAAUUUCAAUUUAAAAAAAAAAAAAUUAAAGUUGCUAAAUUUUUGUAUUUAUUAUUUCAAACUCAUUUAAAUAAUUUAAAAAUAUGUCUUCAAUUAAUUUUAAUGAAACAAAGCAUGAUUUUUUUUUAAUUUUUUUUUCUUUACCAAAUAAAGCAUUAUUAUAAUACGUUGAUUAAAUUUUCAUCAUGUCUCUCAAGAUUUGGAUUAAAUAUACUUAGUUGUCAUAAAUUUGAAAUUUUAUUUAAUGUAUUUUUUAUUUUAAAUUAAAAAGAUGAAUGCAAAUAAAAAAAAUAUGUAUAUUUUAUAAAAUUUUAAAUUAAACGAAGGAUACGUGUAUUUAACCAAGGUGAAUGAAAUUAAUCCAAAUACUUUUUGGUAACUUGCAAAAUAUCUUGACGAAAUCAUUAUGGCAGGCAUCGUACAAGCUCAACCCUUGUCGCCUUGCUAGAAAUAGAGAAACAAAAAGACCCCCAAAUUGGGUUGCAUCCUAAAUAUGAAGAAGUGGUAACAAAGGAAGAAAAAAUGCUGUGUUAUUGAAUAGUUAAUACAUUGAACAUGAUAUGUUACAUAGAGAGCCAGAUUAAUCCUAGUGGAAUUCCACUGUCACGAUGGUAACCUAGGGUUAUGUUUGGUUAUUGAAAAUACCAAGAAAAGAAAAAAAAAUAUAAAGGAAAAUAAUUUUUUCAUUUUUGAUUGUCUUAUAAAAGAUAUAAAAAAAAAACAAAUAUAAUUAAAACUAAUUAAAAAUUUAGGUAUUUUUAAAUUAUUUAAUUUUUAUAUUAAUGAGCGAAAAUAAAUAAAAUAAGUUUAAAAUAACAAAAAAAAUAAUUUACCGAUUUUUAAUCUAUAUUUUAUUUUACUUUUUCUUUGUAUUUUUUUUUUCUUAUAUUUUCCCUCAAAUUUUCUGAAUCAAACAUAGCAAAAAAGGAGCUACCCCUUUCGAAAGAAACUCCCAAGAAUUUCAAAGAAACCUGCUGAGAUAAUGAAUGAGGGAUCACUGUCGGUAAACAGUAUCCAUUCUUUUGGGAGGACUUUCAAACUGAGAAGUUGUUUUCAUGACUUGGAAACAAAAUUUUGAGCUCUAAGGGGGUCUGUAUUUGGGCCCUAAAAUUCAAUCCAUCAAUCUGAAAAAUGCUUAGGAUAAUGAUUUGAUUUAGCCACAAUCACUAAACAAAUUCCAGAGGAAAAUUUCGCUACUCAUAGGUGGCUGAUUCUCAUAAAAAGACAUCGUGGUAGGGUGUCUCAAGUGCAGGCUCACCAUCAACUUGCUGCCCUUUUUAGAUUAUUGUAAAAUGAUUUCACAUGAAGCCCAAUGCAAAACUUUGAAAGAAAAGGUUGGUGGAGACGUGAAGAAUAUGUAACCCAUAGGCCAUAACUAGUACCGAAGAUUAUUGAACAAACAUUCAAGGUUUUUGUAUAGACGAAACUGAAAAGAAUGUGUACCAGACUCAGGCGUUCAGAUCAGAUGAUGCCGUAAUGUGGAUUGUGGAGGAGCAUUGUGCAGACAGAUAAUGAGAUUCUGAAAGCGAGGCCACUGAUGGGCCCUUGGAAGGGGGGCGUGCCUUCAAAAUUAUAUAUAUAUAUAUAUAUAUGUCAUUGAAAAUUGGAAGCAACUUUUCUUCUUAAGUUAUUUUAAUCGAAGAAGAAACAAAAAGUUAAAAACAUACAUUAUUCUUCCUUCUUACGAGGUUUCCGGGUCUAAAUUACUAUGGUCUCUGCAACUGGCGUCGUUUUCUCUCCCCUCUCUCUAUUUUCCCUUUAUUUUUUCACUUUUAGAAAGAAGCAUCCCAUCAAGAAUCUACUACAACCCUACGCUUCCAUUUUGAUUUAGAAAGUUAAAAAUAAGUUUAAGUUAAAAAAAAAUAUUUUCUUAUAUAAUUAUUUAAACUUAUUUCUUUUCCUUUUUAUAUAAAGAAACAAAUAUUUUGCAAAUAAAUAAAUUUCUAAUUAUUUUCAUUAACAUAAUAAUAAUAUUUUUCAUAUGACUUUAAUCACAAUUUUUUUUACCACUUGUCCAAGGCGGUGAGAGGUGAUAAAAUGUAUUAAAAAAACGAUUAAAUUGCAUUAGGUAUAGAAGUUUUGUGCUUCAAUUAUCACUUAUAAAAAUAAAAUAAAAAUAGUCAAAUUUGAGUGUGCAAGUUGGUAUUCGUAUGUAGAAGGAAUUGGGGGAUUUGGGGGUCCUAACAAAUUUGAUAUGAUUGAUGGAAGGAAAUGAUUAUUAUAGGAUAAAGUCCGAAUGAAACGCUGACGAGGGGGGAAAAACAACAGUGGCAAUGCACUAUCCACAGAUCCAUGAUUGAUUUAUGUUAGCAAUAAUGAAUUAUUUUGACUUUGAUAACCUUGGUUAAGAGAAUUUGGUCUUGUUAUUAUCAUUUUUUCAAAAAAAAAAAGUGUAGGUAACUAGGUAGUUGAUUUAUUAGAAUUUAGAAAUGAGGAUCCCCUCCUCCUGCAAGAGCCGUGACAGACAUGCCUGCUUUCUUGCCAGAUUAUACCAAUGUGCCCAAAUAAUCCCCCAUCUAUCAUCUCUGCACCCUGGAACACGUCACUCCCUCCUUUGAGCAAUAAAAUAUCUCUUUUAUUUUCUUUUGAACCACUCUUCUAUUUCUUUGUACCAGACUGGACCCAUUUAAAUUCUUCGCUACGCUGUUCCCAAGGACUACGAGAAUCAAAAUAGCAAAAUUCUUGAAUCAUUUUAAUGGGUUCAGAAACCACAUGUUUCUCUAGAUCAUAAGAGGAAAAUCUUUUUGGAUGGUGUUUGUGUUGUGUUGUGUUCAAUAUUAAAUACUCAAUUAAAUAAGCUAAAUCAAAUAUCACAUGAAAAAUAAUCAAAUUAAAAAUAGGGAGAAUUAUGUUUUGAGGGUAGAUGGACCCCAAAUUAACAAAAGGUUCAUGUAACUCUUCAAAUUGAGCCCAGACCCAAUGAAAAUAUGGAAAUUGAGUUGAAGUAUAUCAUCAUUCAGUAUUUCCAAAAAUGUCCUUUGUUGAUUUUGAGAAAAAAAUUAAUAUUUUUGAAAAAUAUUUUUAUGUAAUUUAAUAUUUUUUUAAAUACUUUUAUUUAAUUUAAUAUUUUUAAAAAAUAAAUUUAUUUAAUUUAAUAUUUUAAAAAAUAUUUAAUUUAAUAUAUUUUUUAAAUACUUUAAUUUAAUUUAAUAUUUUUGAAAAAAAUUUUAAUUUAAUAUUUUUGAAAAAAAAAUUAUUUAAUUUAAUAUUUUUUAAAACUAUUUUUAUUUAAUUUAGUAUUUUUGAAAAAAAAUUAUUUAACUUAAUUUUAUAAAAUAUUUUAUAUGUGUUCUUAAAGGGUAUAUUUGUCCGUUACUAUUUCAUAUCCUUCAACUCAAUUUAAAGAGUUAUAUGGACCUUUUGUUAAUUUGGGGACCCAUCUACCCUCAAAAGAUAAUUCUCCCUUAAAAAUAUAAAUUUAAAUAUGACAUAAUUAUUAAAUAUGUUAGAUCUUGUAUGAGUUUAUAAGAUUUAUGUUUCAAAAUAACAUGUUUAUAAUUCAUCUAUUGAUUUAUAAUCAAAUUUUAAAUAAAUUAAAGUUAUUCAAGUUAAUAAAUAUGAUUUAUGUUAUAAAGACUAACUAAAAAAUAAUUUAUUAAUUAAACGGAUCCUGGUCAAUAAAAAUUUGAUUUAAAUACGAUCAUACUUAAUCAAAACUUAGGUCAAAUUGUAUUGAUAAAUUACAUCAAAACCUUGUUGUGUUCAAUAUUUUAUAUUAAACUAUUUUUUAAUAAAAUUAUUUUUAUAAAUAUAAUAUUACAUCAUUUGGAGAAACAAAAUAGUAUUAUAUUGAUUUUACAUAUAAAGCAACCAGUUAACCCCUCAUUAUUUUGAUCCAUUUCACAUCCAUAUCAUUCUCAUAAUUUUUUUAUAAUAUAUUAACAUGAUGGACGGUAAUUGAGGGUAGAAAAAAAAGAUGAGAAGAAUAAAAUAAUGUGAAUCCUCUCUAAAUGUUACAUCUUCUGACAAAUGAAGUCUAUAGAAAUGUGUAAAAAAAAAAAAAACACUUAAUUGUGAGGUUCACUUGAUUUAGCAAAAAAUUAAUAUUUUAUUUGUUGUGUGAUUUAAAAAUAAUAUUUUAUUUUUAAAAAUAAAAAAUUAUUUUUAAAGUUUUUUAACACUAUUUUACUAUUGUUCUUUGAAAUAAUUUUUAAAAUUAAAAUGAAAUAACUAAUAAUUUUUAGAUAAUAAAUUAAAGUUGUUUUUAUUAGAUUUUAAAAAUAAAAGAAAAAUAUAAAACCAUUUGAUCAAAUUUUUUUAAACUUAUUUUUAAAAGGUUUUUUUUUUUUUUUUUUUUUUUCUAUCCUAAGUUAAAAGAUAAAAAAUAAUUUUUAAAGAUAGGUUACGAGCAAAUGCCACAAACUUUUUUCUUCUCUUUCCCUUGUUCGGAUAGAAGUGAAAAAUAUCCUCCCAUGGAUCGACAUUACGUGAGCCAUCACCAUUCCCCAACUGCAAUUCAACCGCCAAAGCUGAGGUGUCAUUAUUAGUUUGAACAAAAGUCAGCAUUGUCCACGUGGUGACAAGCGGAACUGACCCAACUUGCAAGGCAAAAAAAUAAAUAAAAUAAAAUGAAAAAAUCAGAUCACCAUUAUGACGUCAGUCCAAUUGCUGACCUGGCCGCCGUCCCCCAUUUGACCCACGUGUUCAUUUAACCCAUUCGCCGUAUGCCGUGGCUCCCCACCCAUAUGGCCAUAUCUGCCAUUUAUUUUAUCCGUUGCCUCCAUUCGGUUUUUGGAUUUUACCCAUUCGCCCUCGUCUAUUCCCAUUUCCGUAUUUGCCCACCAAGGAAAUUCAAUUCCCAUGCUUUUGUUUUACAUUCAAAUCCUCCCCCCUCUAUAUAAAGGAGGGAGUAGGGCUUGAAAGUUUCUCAAGCCAACAUGGACUGUUGAGAGUGAAAGACAGAGGAGCCACAAACAAAUAUCACUCACUCAAACCAAAGCCAAAACCAAUACCGAAUUCAAUUCAAAUGACUUCUUUCUCUCUCAUCAAUUCCCUGAAUUCCGAUUCCGAUUUCAAUUUGUUAUCGGAUUCUUUUUCCUGGGAAAACUCCCUACCUUUCAAUGAAAACGACUCCCAGGAGAUGCUCCUCCUGGGCAUGCUGGCCAGCUCCACUCAGGAAACCUCAGAAACAGUUUCUUUGAAUCGAGUGAAGGAGGAAGAAGUGACUUCCCAGGAAAAUCCCGAGAAGGAGAAGUCAUACAGAGGCGUUAGGAGGCGGCCAUGGGGGAAAUUCGCAGCAGAAAUAAGGGACUCGACCAGGCAUGGCAUAAGGGUGUGGCUGGGAACAUUUGACAGUGCAGAGGCAGCUGCUCUGGCCUAUGAUCAAGCUGCUUUUGCGAUGCGGGGCCCUGCGGCAGUCCUCAAUUUCCCGGUGGAAAGAGUGAAGGAAUCGAUGCAGGAGAUCAAGUGCAUCUUGGAGGAGGGGGGCUCACCAGUGGUGGCCCUCAAGAAGAGGCACUCUAUGCGGAGAAAAAGUCCUUGCAAGAAACAUAAAAGUGAAGAGGUGAGGUUAGAAAAUGUGGUAGUGCUGGAGGAUUUGGGUACUGAAUACUUGGAACAGCUCCUCACUUUCUCUGAGACCUCUAGUCCUUGAUCAUCAUCAUCCAUCACCUGGAUAGCUUCUUCUCUUUGCUCUGUUUCUUACUUUUCUCUCUCUCUCUCUCUCUCUCUCUCUUUUUUUUUUAUGUAAUUUUUCUUAAUGUAUUUUUGGAGAUGGCGGGGGUGUAGUGGUGGCAAUUAUCCAUCUAGAAUUUUUCAAAAGAUAUGUUCUUUUGUUUCUUUGUAUAAAGUUGAAAAGUGGGGAUCAAUUGUGAUGGUGCUCUAUGUUCAUCCACCCAAUUUAUAUAAUCAAGGUGAUUAAUGUUUUUUGAUAUCAACAAUUUGUGAAUGACAUAGAGAGAGAGAGAGAGAGAGACCUUAUUUUCUACACUCAUUACGGUGGUUUCCAUUUGGGGAAGGAAAAGGAAAUGGCUAAGAAUGUUACCAAAAGAAGUGGGGUGGCUUUCAUAUGCGUGGUGGCAUACUUGCAUACAAACUUUUCAAUUGUGUUCUGCAUGCCACUCGGGUCAAUUUCAUUUCUUUUACUCCUAGUAGCCUAAUUGGAUUUCCUUUUUCUCAUGAGACAUCAAAUAAAUUUCAUUUUUUUAUAUUUAAAUAGUUAGGUAAGUUUGAUAGUGAGUUAUAUUUUAUACAUUAAUUCAUCUUUUAGAAUGUUGUCUACAAUAUAAACAGUGUAAUUAAUUUCAUCAUUACAGAACAGUCAUCUUAUAAAAUAACAUAAAAAUUAUUGGAUCACUUGUAUGGCACCACUGAUUUGGACUUGGUAUGGCUCUGUUUGGCUUCAUAGAAAAAAUUUGGACCCAAUUUGAAUGUCUUGCAUAAAAAGAGAUACGUCCCACUUUGAAUGAUAUUGAAGAAAAAAAUUUCUGAUGAAGAAUAUAUUGUUGGCAGGGUCAUGCAGGCCAAUAGGGAAACGAUAAAUUCAGAAGAAUGAGUCCAAACCAGUGGGCUUGAAAAUUAAGAAGAGAAUUGCUGUAUAAAACAAUCAUUUCUUAAUCGAGUUCACUUUCUGAAUAAUCGUCACUUUGAGAAUGCAUACUUAGGAAGAUGAUGAUCCUUAAUGGGAAUAAUCAAAGGCAUCAAAAAAUUGUUCUGGAACAAUUCUUGAUUGUCUCCAGUAAAAUUCAAAGUCAAAAGUCAAAAGUCCAGUCGGUCAACACCAAACCAGGCCAGUCCAAAAGACAUUAAUUUGCAAUCUAGAAUCUAUGAUGAGGUGGCGAAAUCAAACCUUGGCUUUUCACCAGGGAAUGGUACUCUGAAUUUGGUCAGUUCACUGUUUCGAGUGAAUAGGGUGUAGUAAUUAGUAAAUCAUAUUUUAGAUUUGUGUCACAAGUUACAAGGGAUAUGGGCUGACGUUCAAUUUUGGCGACAAUUUGUGGGCCCGUAUAUUUGUUGAGAUGUGGAAAUUGGGUGUGUGCUUUUUUCUGCUACCACAUAAAUAUAUUUCUUUGAAUUGAAGAGUGUUUCAGACCAUUUUUUUUCAAGUCACAAAUGGACAACUGAUUGAGAUUGUAUUGGUGAGAGUAGGAGUUUAUUUUGGGCUGGUUGAGCGAAGUUGAAAGUCGAGUUGGACCUAACCCUUGAAUUCAGCAGACUACAGUCCGAUCCUGUAUUUUGGAUUUAGGGAACCUUCUUUCCCAGAAGCUUCGUCUGGGUUUUAAAGUCUAAAUGUGGCUACUCUUAAACAUUGGAGAAAGGAUGAGCGUUCACAAGCAAAUGGGUAAUUGUGGAUGGUUCAAGGACCUGGCCAGCUGGUCUUCAAGUUUGGAUGCCGGUUUGGGCCUGAGAGAGUCUUUGCAAAGUGACUUCACUUCAGCCUAUGAGAUCAAGAUAUCAUGGUGAUGUCCGAUCACUUAGGUUUCAUUUUCACCUCGGAUUACCGUUACCAUGUUCAUGAAUAAAAAUAAAUAAAUAAAUGAAGCCUUAUAGAGAAAUUAAUGAAGUGAGCUAUACAAGCAACUGGGCCAGGAGCCUACAAGGCAGAAAUUCCCUGCCCUAGACUAGGCCGAAUAAAUUAGAUGAAUGAAUUGGGGAAACCUGGGCCAGCCACACAUCCUCCUGAAGGCUGAUGUCGAACUCGCUUACGAGGAAUGGACAUGGGAGAUUGGGCUGGGACCAAAUAACCAAUUGACAGCCCUAUCCUUGUGGCAAGACGUCAGUAAAAUGGUUCAUUCUGAUUUUACGCUGCCAUUCAAUUUAAUUUUAAUUUUUGUUUAAAGCGAUGUACAAAUUGAAUGGUGUCUAGUCACUUAAAGAGUGGUUCAUAAUACACUUAAUUUAAACAAAAAAGAAAUUAUUAGAUAGGGGAUUCUCCAAUAAAAACCACCCCAUCUUGUCAGCAAGUCCGGAAACUUCCUUCACUUAGGGCGUAUUUGUUUUUUUAACUUUAAUAUUAAAGAAAGUUGGUUAAACCUUAUGACACUUUUAUAUUAUUUUAUGAAUUUUUUUUAAUUUUUAUUUUAAUGGAAUUUUAACUUUAAUACAAGUUGGAGUAAUUCUUAUCUUAAAAACAAAUCAAAAUUACUUUAAUUUUAUAUAGAAAUAAACUUACAGUAAAUUUACCAUGAAAAUUUCUAAGUCAAAUACACCAUAAGUGCUAGUAUUUUAUAAUAUUUAGAAACAUGUUAAAUUAUUAUUAUUAUUUUUUAAAAUUAUUAGUUUUCAUAUUAGUUUUAGGGAAACUUGUGCUUUAGGUCUUUUAUUUGCAAAUAAUAUGGUUUUCAAAUCCUAAGAAUAGAAAAUAUGAGAAUCAACUGUUAAUGUGGAAAAUAAUAUCAAUUUUGUGCAAUCUCUAUUGACUCAUUUUUUUGUGCCUAGAUUGCCUUCACCCACUUCCAUGUCAACAACCACAUUAAUAGAUUGUUUUUUUUUUAUAAAACAAAUAAUUAUUAUGUUUAAAAUUUUGGGGAAACUCUCUAUCUCUCUUACUUCUUCACUACAUCCGAGACCCAUCUUCCUUAAACGUUUGCCUCUCAUUUUGCCCUAACCCCAAAUCUCAUAAAUUUCUCAUUUUCUUGCCUCAUUUGAAAUAUGAAGAUGACCGAUUCUCAAACAUCUCUGUCUCUCUCUUCACGUUUUGACCAGUCUAAUUGGAAACCCAUUUUCCAAAAACCUUCUUUCUUUCAUUUUGCCCUAACCCCACUAUCUCCCUCUUCAAGACCUAAUCACCCAAACUCGAUAUCUAUCUUCCCAAAACCUUCAAGCAAACUGAACUAGACCCAUAUCUUCUUUUUUCAUCAUCAAAGGUGAAAUUUUUUUAAGGCUUUUGGAAACCGAAUUGGAGCUUUCCCUUCUUCUGGGAUUAAUCAUUCGCAAGUGAGUUUUCCAUUUAAGGCUUUGUUUGGCUGUUGAAAUCUUGGGAUCAAAGGUCUUUUAUUUUCAGGUUUCUUGUAUUUUGCUUUAUUUUCUUGUAUAUAACAAUAAUCAUUGUAACAUAUGCUAGUAGUUACCCUUGGUGCAACUUUACAUUUCCAAAUACCCUAAAGUCCAAAGCUUUUAAUUCCCUUUUCAAAGCUUUCAACUUUGAAAGCAGACUAAACCAUAAGAACUAUGAAACUUAUAUCUCUAUCACCACUAAUUAAGCAUGUCUAUGAAUCCUUCCACUUUAAGUCACUUAUUCUCAAACCAAGAAGGGCUCCUCUCAUUCUCACCCCACCUCAUCUAAAUGAGGGAAAUGAUCAAUUGCAGCCAUGCUUUGCACCAAAUUAGAGAAGUGAUCCUCCCAAUCAUCCAUUACCAAAAAUUGAUCAUGCUGAUGAGAUCAUAAGAGUCUAUUCGGAACUCCCAGUUUACUUGCCUCUUAUCUCAGGAUCCUCCAUUACCCCCUGUCUUUCCAACAUCAAAUCAACUUGCAAACAAUUCCUUUGUAGAUAAAAUGUUUUUAAUAUUGCAAAAGGGGACUUAUCAUAAUGGUUGAAUCGAUUUAUUUGAUAUAAUCACUCAAAUUCAAGCUUAAAAUUGAUCAUAAUAAAAUGUUUUUAAUAUUGUUAAAAGGAGAUUAUAAUGGUUUUAUUUGAUAUCAUUACUAAAAUUCAAGCUUUCAAACAUGCUCUACAAAGAAGUUCUAAAAGACUACAAGAAAGAGUUUCCACUAAAGAAAAACAAUGAAACCAUUUCUACUAAAGACAAACAAUGAAACCACAGAUGCUUUGUGAAAUAUGUACCCGCACAAUCCAACAAACUUUAGAAAUUCACAAACACUACCUAGAAUUUUUGCUGACCAGCAAAAAAUUUAUGCAAUUUAAUUCUUAUUGUUAUUAUUAUUUUCAAUGUGAACAAAUAUGAUUGAAUUAUGAAGUAUUUGGCCAGAAGAGGAUCUUGCCUAAUUAUAGUCAUUAAACAACCAUUUAUACCAUAGCCUCUAGACUUUAAAAAGUUUAUAAAACUCAAGGGCUUCCACCCAAUUUCUAGAUAUCUCCAUAACAUUCUUCUGACUAUUAGAAAGCAAUUACCACUUUAAUUUUUCAUUUCAUGAGUGUUCAAUUCAGAAAAAGACCAGGAUCGAACUUGCGAUCAUGCAGUCGAAAAUCCACCUGUGCAUGAAACUAUUGCCUCACGAUUGCAAACUCAAGUUGGAGUCCAGUAACAACUCUAGGUUUGCUGAUGUGCUCCAUUUGAAAUAAAGGAACUAAAGAAUACUUUAUAAAGAUUAAUUACCUUCAUAUUUUAGGUUGGGGUUAAGGCAAAAUGUGAUAGAUUGAGAGGAAGAAAAUAUAUCUUGUUCAGGAAGCCAAUAUUUUGGAGUUCACCUUUCCAUUCGAGUCCACUCUGCUAUAGCAAAAUCAGAGUCACAACUAUGCCUCUUUAAGCUAUCCUUUAAUUGGAUGAAUUGCAGAUUUGGUUGCUGAGAAAGUGGAUAAGAAAGAAAAAUGCAUACUGUAGCUUGAGAUUAAGAGUUUGUUUUCUAAAAUGAGAGAAAGGGAAAGAGAAAAAAUGCAUAUUGUAGCUUGAGAUUAAGGGUUUGUUUUCUAAAAUGAGAGAAAGGGGAAGAGAAAUGUUCGACAACUUUGAGAUGACAAAUUUUUAGAUUUGGAAAAUUUGAGAUGAGUCUCAGGUUUUUUUUUUUUUUUUUUUGUCUUUGUCUUUGUUUUUUUUUUUUUUUUUUGUUUUUUUCCCAAAAACAACCUGUUAAUGUGGUUGUUGACAUAGAAGUGGGUGAGGGCAAAAUGGGCAUAGAAAAAAGAGUCAACACAAAGUGCACAAAACCCAUAUUAUUUUCCACAUUAAUGACUGAUUCUCAUAUUUCUUGUUCUUGGGAUUUGAAAACCAUAUUAUUUGCAAAUGGACCUCCCAAAGCACAGGUUUCCCUUAGUUUUAUGUCUCCAUCUACAUUUUACAUAUAAAUAGAUUAUUUUAUAAAAUUUGUUUUGUAGAUAUAUUAGUUAAUAAUUAUAUAAUUAAUGAUAUAGAAAACAUAUAAAAAUCAUAUUUAAAAAAGAUAAUUACAUAUUCCUCAACAAUCCAUCCCAAGAAUUCGAGGUUGAGUUGAAAACAUGUAGAGUCUUUGAUGUUAUUAUAAUCAUAUCCAACACAUAUGAUUAUUGUUUAUGAGAUAUUAUUAGAAAGUUUGUCUUAAAAUAAUUGAUUUAUUACCCACCUUUAGCAAAUGCCCAUUUUUGCGUCUUUCAAAAUUUUCAUUUUUUUUUUGUUUAAAAGAAGUAUUGUAAAGAAUGAUGAAAUAAGAAAUUUGUUGAGAAAGUGUGAGUAAAUAAUUUUACAUAAAAAGAGAUUUAAUACUUGAUAAAUAAAAUAAUAAAAUCAUGAUUUCUAGUUGUAUAGGGCCGGGUGGAUGGAGUGGCUAAGAUGUAAUUCUUGAAAUAGAGGAGACAACAUCAAUGUAUAAAAGUUUAACAGAGAAGGAAAGUGUGUUUGAAUGACUUUAUUUUCUUCAUUUAAAGUUUUGACGAUGAGUGUUUAUACAAGAUAAAUUUUCAAAUGAUAGGACUCCUAUUUACAUGGAGUUUGUGAUAUACUAUGAUUAUACAAAUUUAAAAUUCAAACAGAUUCAUGAGUUGAUAGGAGUCUGCUCAAUACGCCCCUUCAAAAUGGUGGGAGAUAGCACACCAAUCUUGACUCGAAGGGCCUAAACUCGUGCAGAAGAUGAGGGCUUUGUUAGAGCAUCGACAAGUUGAUCCGUGGUUGACAUAUGGGACACCUUGAGCUCACCUGAUUAAACCUUGUUUCAAACAAAAUGAAAAUCAAUCGCCGAUGUGUUUCAUGGAGAGUGAAACAUGGGAUUUGCACAAAGAUAUGUUGCACCCACGUUAUCACAAGAGAUAGGAGGUGGUGAUAAAUUUGAAACACUAAGUUUUGAGAGAAGAGAAUUAACCCAAAGAACCUUUGAGGCUGUAGAGGCCACGACGUGAUAUUUCGCUUCAGUGGAAGAGCGUGCUAUGAACUUUUGUUUCCUCGAUGACCAAUACACAAGAUUGUGACCAAGAAAAACAAUGGGAGCAUUGGUGGAGGAUCUGACAUAAGGAUUCCUUGCCCAUUCAACAUUCGAAUAUGCAUGUAGAUUGAUGGGCGAUUUCUUAUGCAAGAACAGACCAUGCACCAUUGUGCCGACUAAGUAUCUAAGCAAUCUUUUAACACAAGACCAAUGUGUUGAUGUUGGAUGGUGCAUAAAUUGAGAUAAUUUAUUCAUCAAGAAGGUGAUGUCAGGGCUAGUAAGAGAGAAGUAUUGAAGGCUUCCAACAAUUGACAUAUAUUUAGUGGGACCAGGAAAAGAGGUGUCAUCACACAGAUUUGGAACAUUGUUGAGGAACAUCAAUGAUUGAACUGGUUUGGUAGCCACCAUUUGUGUUUUCUUAAGAAGCUCUCGAAUGUACUUGAGAUAAAAAUAAUCCUUUGGAAGUAUGUAUCAUUUCAACACCAAGAAUAAAAGAUGAAGUCCUGAGAUCCUUAAUGGAGAAUUUGACUGCUAAUUGAGAGAUCACGCGAGCACGAAAAACAUUAUUGUUACUUGUUAAAAUAAGAUCAUCAAUAUAAAUAAGUAGGUAAACAAUGAGACCACUCUUUUUAAAAAUGAAGAGGGAUGUCUCGGUUUAGGAGUUGACGAAGGCUAUUGAGAGGAGAAAUUGGCAAAGUUCAUGAUACCAUGAUCGUGGAGCUUGUUUAAAGCCAUAAAAAGCCUUACAAAGUUGGCAAAUGUGAUGAUGUGUGUAUUCGUGAACCCAGGAGGUUGAAUCAUGUAAACAUCUUCAUGAAGUGUCCUAUGCUAGAAUGCAUUAUUAAUGUCCAAUUCAUGAGUUGAUAGGAGUCUGCUCAAUACAAUGUGGGAGUGUGAUUUCAAAAUUAGGGUAAUUUCGAAAUGGAUUUUGUAUUCACAAGUUGAAUUUCAAAAUUAUUUUGAAAUGGUCUUUUAACUUUAAGCAGUUGUGUUCAAAAGGUCAUAACUUCUUCGUUUCAAUUUUGAUUUACACAUUGUUUAAAACAUUGGACUCUUUACUUCCCGAGCUUCAAAACGAUAUAUAGUAUGCUCAAAAAUGACAUCAGGAUUGGUUCAAAUUUCAUCUUGAUAUUAGAGUACAUGUUGUGAUUAGAUUUUGAGUUCCAAAUUUCCAUGUAAACUUGAUUGCAUUUGCUUCAAACCUCCUUCAUUAUGGUUGCUUGCCCUCUAUCUCACUUUGCAACAUUUGUUACUAGUAUUUUAUGUCCAUGACUUACUCAUUUCAACCUUUCUUGGAUUCUUCAUGGUUCACAAAUUAUGGAUUCUUCAUGGUUCACAAAUUGAGUCUUUCAAUUAUGCAUGUUUAACUCCUAUUUCCUUGGUUGAUAAUGACUUUUACACUUAUCAUUUUCUUUUAUUCUUUAAACCUGAAUUUAGACUUACAAAAAAAAGUUAGAUCCAUAACUAGGGUCUUAGCAUCAAUUUGAGUUAAGUUGGAUGAUUUGAAAAUUUUAUAUUACAUAAAUCAUAUCAUACAUGUGCCAUUGGAGUGCACAUUUUGGCUCUAAUCAUGUUCCAACCCAUUGUUUUACUCUUGCAUGAAGUAUGUGGCCAUUGAUUUUAAUUUUAUUUGCGAUUAGGUUCAAAAUGGUGCUUUUGUGUUGCUCAUGUGUCAUCAGAAGAUCAACUAAUGGAUUCUCUAACAAAACUACUACAUCAUAGUCAUUUUUUUUUUUCUUAAGACCAAGAUUGAGAUCUCCAAUCGGAGCCAACUCCAUCUUGGGGGCAUGUUAGUGAAAGAUAAAAUUUAUCUUUAAUUUAAAUAUUAAUAUUUAUCAGUUAUUAGUUUUAAUUAGAGUAAAAGAUAGAGUUUAAAUUGGAGUAGGAGAUAAACUUGUGUUUGAACUAGAAUAGAAGAUAAAGUAUAAAGAUUUAUGUUUGAAUUAGAAUAAAAUAUAAAGUUUGAAUUAGAGUAGAAGAUAAACUUGUUCUUUAUUUGUAUAUAAAUAUUCAUCAAUUCUUGAGAAGAAGAUUAUUUCAUAGUUUUUCUAUCUUCUUUUUUCUUCAUACAUAUCUGCAAGAAAUUGAAGAUUUCAAGUAAAAUAUUUUCUGUUUUAAAUAGUGAAAAAAGCUAGAAAUUCACUUUGUUAUCUCUUGGGGUAAAUUGACAAGGUUUAACGUUAAGAAGGUGAAUUAUUUUUUCAGAAAAACUGAAGUAGCUAGGAUAUCUGGCCAGUUGUGAUCGAUAAAAAAGUUGUAAAAUCUCUCAUAUACUAAACAGGUUUUGGAUGUUGGUAUGGUAAAUCCAUCUGCAGUCAUUCGUCAUCUCAUCUAGUGAGAUGUUUGGGAGGUGGUGACCGCCGGAUUGGGUUUCAUUUGGUUAAAUCUGUCAGUGGGUUGGCUACUACCCGAGCCUCUUGCUUUGGGGGAGGUGGGUUCUAGAUAUAAUGUUCAAACCAUUUUAGUUAUCAUAUGCAUGACAUGUAAGCAUAAUCUCUUUAUCACUUCUUCAAUGGGAGUUCAUGGUUAGGAAUUGACUUCUUUUCUUCUGGGAUGCUUGGCAUGUAAUGGACAAAGUUACUUUUAUAUCGAUCGAAUUUCUAGUAUUAUAGUGAAGACUUACCCUUUUGACAUUUUAUAUCGAAUUAUAGAAGAUGAAAGGGACAUACAUGCAAUCGACUGACGCUUUAGUGAAUAUGCUGAAAAUAUGCUGAUGCUGUGGAGAUCGUAUGAGGACAGAGGAAAAAGAUAGAAAUGGAUAUAUAAUUAGACCUAGGUUUUUAUUAAAUGAGAUGGGGAACAUAGAGUGAGGGAAAAUCAAAAUUUUUGGCUGCAGUUCACAUUGGUGAUAUUUUGGAUUGACAAAGACUAACGACUUUUCUAUUUUUCUUUUCGGCCUGACUGGAUAGUUGGACAUGGACAAUACAGAAUCCACAGAAGGAUUGUUGGGACCGCUGAAAAUUAGCUAGAAGAAGCUGAGGAAGUAGUCUACGUAGUCAAAUACCAAACACAAAGAAAGAAAGAAAUGGAUAUCAUGGAUGCCUAGAGUUAUACUCCUAAUACCGUCACAGGUAUUUUUCUUUCCUCCUUUUUUUUUCUACGAUAAUUAGAGCAUUUCUCCUCCUCCUCCUCCUCCUCCCCCCACCCCACCACCAAAAAAUAAAAAAAUAAAUUAUUGCAAGUAACACUUCAAAUAUUAAUUUAUACAUUCUAAAGUAUAUAUUCAUGAAAUAACUUGAGUAUCAUACAUUAGUUCUCAAAAAAAAAAAAAAAAAAAAAAAAAAAUUACUGGAAGAGAAAAGUUUAAGAAAACAUAAAAAUAUUCAACUACUAUUUUAAAGAGAAAAUUUAAUUUUUACACUAUAAAUUUGAAGAGAACUUUUACAUGCAUCUUAUAUAAACUACCAUUUUUUGCUAAAAGGCUUAAAUUUGUCAAAAAUACCCCUUAGGUGCUUAACGUUCUGGUCAUAAUAUAAUUGGCAUCUUUUCUCAAACAUAAGGCCUGUGUGUGGGAACAAGAUUUAAUGUUAAUGAGCUUCGCCACCGACAUUUAGUUCCAGAAAUCAUUAUUUUAAUAGAGUGGGCUCAAUUUACAACUUUAAUUAAACUCUAACCAACUGCAUUGUGAAAUGAAUAUGUUUCUUUCGUGGUGAAUCCAAUGAGUUGGGAGUCAAACUUUGCUUCAUUGUGUAUAGAUGAAAUGUUAAGACUCCAUGUAACCUCAAACAUUUCCGCAAUNNNNNNNNNNNNNNNNNNNNNNNNNNNNNNNNNNNNNNNNNNNNNNNNNNNNNNNNNNNNNNNNNNNNNNNNNNNNNNNNNNNNNNNNNNNNNNNNNNNNUUCUUUCGUGGUGAAUCCAAUGAGUUGGAGUCAAACUUGCUUCAUUGUGUAUAGAUGAAAUGUUAAGACUCCAUGUAACUCAAACAUUUCCGCAAUGAGCGGGAGUUCUAAAUUUAAUAAUUGAAAUUGUCAGUGGAACCAGUGGACAAGAGUUGGUUUGUGGUUGACAAACUUAUCCGUUUGAUCUUUACUUGAACAGUUCCAGUGUGUGGAUGGGUACUGAUGAAGUGUGCGCAUUUAUUUUGAGAAGCCUGCUUGUUCGCAUAGAUUUUAACGACAUGAACAUUGUGGUAAGGUUAGAGAGUAAUGCGAAUGUAGGAGCUUAUAUUAGAAAUGACACAAACACGUAAAUAGAAGUAAUCUAUAUAUGAUAUUACUCAUGGACUACAAGCAAAGAAGUACAAUACAUGGAGUAAGUGAUGAAAUGAGCAUUCCUCACUACUACUGCUUGACUGAUGGAACAUGAUGCACGAGAUAGCAUAAGUAGUAGUAGGAAGCAGCUCUUAUUUGUGGCGUCGGUAUACAUCAUACUAGGUAGAUGGUUCAAUUGGCAUGGAUGGGUGGUGGAGCCUUGAAGUGCUUGUGAUGGGGAGCCCACGGCUUCUUCUCAGGAGUUGGUGGCUUCUUGUAUGGAGUUGAUGGAGGUGUUUCUACUGGAGGGUGGCCAGGGUAGUGACCCUGGGGUGGUGAAGGUUCUUUUGUCGGUGGUGGCCUCACUAUUAUUGGCGGUAGAGUUGGUGGCUUGGGCGUUGGCGGUGGUCUCACUACUCUUGGGGGUAGAGUUGGUGUCUUGUGUUUUGGUGGUGGAGGUGGCUUAACAGGAGUUGGUGGCUUGUAUUCUGGGGGUGGUUUCUCCACCGGAGGUGGCUUAUAAACUGGAGUUGGUGGCUUGUAUUCUGGGGGUGGCUUCUCCACUGGUGGUGGCCUGUAAACAGGGGUUGGUGGCUUAUAUUCUGGGGGAGGCUUCUCCACUGGAGGCGACUUAUAAACAGGGGUUGGUGGCUUGUAUUCCGGGGGUGGCUUCUCUACGGGAGGUGGCCUGUAAACAGGGGUUGGUGGCUUCUCCACCGGAGGUGGCUUAUAAACGGGGGUUGGUGGCUUGUAUUCUGGGGGUGGUUUCCCCAGUGGUGGAGACUUGUAAACAGGAAGAGGUGGUUUGUGCUCAUAUGGGGGUGGCUUGUGGUCAUUAGCAAGUGAGGGAGUGGUGAGGACCACCAAUCCAAGGAACAACACGAGUGAGCAAGCAGAAGACAUGUUUGGGCUCUGGUGAUGCACAAGUAGAAGAAAUGGGAACCAUUUAUAAUGCUUCGAGACCUUGGUUAGCACCAAAAUAUGUCAAAAUCUUGAUUACUUCAUUUCAUACAUAGAUUUAAAAUUAUUUCAAUCAACCAUGAUCCUUAAUUUUCUGGGUGGUCCAUAAAUGUAAUGGGGUCAAUUUGGGACCUAACAAGCUGAGAAGUUUGACAAUGCUGCAAGGCUUCAUCCGAAAGUCCGGGGAAGAAUAUUAGGAGUUACACUCCGUUUCCUUUUUUGGGUGCAUUUUUCUCCUUUAACAUUCUAUUCCCUUUUACAUUAGCAUUUGAUCUUAGCUCAUUUCAAGUACAAGUUUCUUGAACCCUAUACCAUUGUCAAAGUUGAGUAACCAUCUCUACUUUGCUCAAGAAACAUAAAAGACAAUGACAAUAAAGAAAAAGGAGAGAGACCAUACGUGACUUGGUUUAUAGGUGGCUUUGUGUUGACAUUUGAGUAUGGAAGCCGACAUGCAUCUUAGCUUCGAUUUUAAUUAAAUUUGUACAUUAGUGUCUGUGUCAUUCAUUUUGGUAUAAAAGGUCUCUUGAUUUCGUAAGUUUGGUAAGAACCGUUGAAAAUAGCAGUAGCAGCACAUGGUCCACUUUCUUUCACAAAAUAAUUUUAAAAGUUUAGAAGCAUAGGAGGUAACAUUAGUGGCCUUGUGGCUCAGCCACGAGUACUAUGUGGUGCUCGAGAAAUUGAGUUUAAUUUCCUUCCGAUAGUUCAUGAUAAGGUCCGUCACUGUCCUGAGACAGAUUGCGUUUUUUCUUUUUUCCUUUUUUAGUGUUUUAUUGACUAGCUAGGUGUGACUUUUCCUACUUUAAGGCACGAGGCAGAAAAGAAACUGGGAUUUAGUGCUUAAGAAGGCAAAUUUAAUUCGAUUUGGAUCUAAAAUUUGCCAGCAACAUGAGAUUUUCCAGCCUAUCGUUGCUCCACAUAUAGACAAGGCACUUGUAGAAGUGGCUUGUUUGUAGCCAUUCCCGAUAUUUGGACUCACUUGAUUCACCGGACACUUUGAUAAAAUUUAAUAUUUAUUAUUUAAUAAUUUAAAUUGAUUUAAAAUUAAAUUAUACCGAAGUUGUGAUUUAAAAAUUAUUAUUUAAUUCUUACUUUUAAAUAUGAAGAUUAUUUGAUAAAAAUAAUUUAAAAUUUAUUAUAAAUUAUCAAAUUAACAUAUUUAUCCUUAUAAAUUAUAAUUAAAACAGAAAAGGUCAAAUGAUUUGAGUAUCCAUAGAUGUGGUAAAAUAAUAAAAAAGAUUAUAAAAACAAUUAUGAUAAAUAAAGAUAAAAAGUAAAAUGAAUAUGUGAAUUUAAAGAAUAAAUUAAUUAUUUUUAUUUAUUACUUAAAAUUAUUUUUGACUUUAAAUUAUAUUAUUAAAUUAUUUUACCAAACAUACUUAAUUUAGUUAAUAAUUUAAAUUUAAUUUAAGUUAUUAAAUUGAUUCACCAAAUACCCACUUAAUCAAAGACUGAAGUAUACAUUAUUUGGCCAAAUGCAGCUAUUGAAAUUUAACUUUUUCCAAACUUAUUCAUUUUGUGGAAAUAUUUUUAGAAAUGAUUUUAAAAAUGCACUAUUCUGUGUGUUGAUUUUAUAUUUUGGCAUUAAUCCAACAUAGAAAACGGUUCUUAUUUUCGCUGUUAAAUAGGUACCAGAUCCUUAAUUAGUGCCGUGAAUCCGGCAGCUUCCAAUGAGUAAUUUGGACUUGGGUAUUGACAAUGUGUGGCCAUGCUUCUACUAUUUUAUUAUUCUUGAAACAUAUAUGAUAUAUUGGACUUUAUACAGGGAAAAAAAAAAAAAAAAGUCUUCACCAAAAAUGAUUCCUCCUAAAAAAUAGACUCCACAAACUAGGUUUAACAGGAAAAUGAUUCUAAUCUAGUAGUUUCCAGCCACAUGAGCAUUUACGUAACAAUAGUAUAGUUGAUAACGACUUUUAUUUUAUUUAUUUUUAAAUAGUUAAAGGGAUAAUUUUUGAGCUUAAAUUUUAUUUUUUUAUUUAGAAACAUUUUACUUUAUUUUUUAAUCAUAAUUCUAUUAUAUUAAUGUUUUAUUUUCUAUUUUUUAAUAUAUAAGGAGAUACUAAAUUUAUGUGAUUAUUUUUUAAAAAUUUAGUAUAUGAAAUUAAAUAAUUGGAUAUAUAUACAUAUAUCAUAUAAUGUUUUUUAAGUGUGAUUUUUGAACUUUUUAGUCAUUUUAUAAGUUUAAGCUUUUGAUUUUUUUUUUUAAACUUUGGUAUUUUUUAUUUUAUAUAAAACUAUUUUGAUUUAAUUUUAUUAAAAAAUAUUGGUAUUAUAAAUUAUUGUAUUAAUUAUUUUUUUAUAUUAUAAUGUAACUGGUAUAUACUAAAAAAUGUAUGCAAGUUCAAUUUAAGUUUCAAAUUAAAAAAUUUCAUUUAAAUAUUUAAUAACUUGUUCAUAAUAAAAAAUUAAACAACAUAAUACAAAUGAAAAGAAACAUAAAAGAAAAAGGAAAAAAUGGUCCUCUCUGUGUGUCACAUUACUAGGUCAUCCUCUUUUUCUAUGACCCUUACAAUAGAAUGGCAUAUUUGUCAAAUCUACUUAUGAAAGUUGGAAUGUUUCUACAUGUGUAGGGUCCAUUGGAACUAAUGGAGGAAAGGCUUAACGUCUAUGUAAAUCACAACGUUGCCUAGGUGGGCAUAGAUCUAGUUGUGUAACAUGAGAUGGUGUGAGAGUACAAUAUAUGCAUUGUAGUCUCUAUGGGAAGAGAGAUAGGUAAUGGUAGGGUGGUAGACGGUAGGGUGAUCUCUAAUAUAAUGACAUUUGAUGUGGUGGCUUCUAAGAGAGGAGAUAUAAGAGAUGGUAGAAUGACAUUUGGUGUAAUGGUCUCUAGUGCAAUGACAUGUGAUAUGGUGACCUAUAAAGAAGAGAUAUAGGUGAUGGUGAAGUGGUAUGUGGUGUAGUGACCUUUGAGAUAGAAAAUAGAGGUAAUGGUAGGUUGGCAGGUGGAGUGGUCUUUGGUGUAGUGACAUCAAUUAUAAAUGUCUCCAAGGGAGGAAAUAAAGGUGAUGGUAGGUAGUAAAUGUUGAGGUGGUCUUUGAUAUGUUAUGCUCUAAGAGAGAAGGUAUAGGUAAUGAUAAUAGGGAAUUUGACAUAGUGGUGUUGGAAAUAAAAAGUGAAAGUGACCGUAGAGGUGAAAGGGCAAGUGUAAAAGCCUCAAGUACGAAUGGAGUAAUUAAUGUGGAUGGUGCUAACAUAGUCUUAGGUGGAUACACAAAUAGUCAUAGUCAUCAACUAGCUUGCCCACCAUCUGUCUUUCUGCUAGUGAUAGGUUACAUCUUAAUAGUAAUGGCCAACAUAAGUGGUGUGGAUCCGAUUUUUUUACGUGUGUCCCCACUCAAUCGACAAGACUUAUUUUUUAUUAGUGAAAAAUUAAUUUUGGAAAAGUUGGAGUCACCACUUAUUUUAUUUUAUUUUAAAAAGGAAAGUAAAACAAGAAAGAGAACUCUAAAGAAGUGACUUCAUAGUUUUGGAAAAGUUAGUCUUAAAAAAUCCAAGUCUUGGUCCGGAGAUCAGGUUACUUAUUGGGAAGAUACCUCUAAGAGGUAAUACCCCUCUAAACCCUAAAGAAGUCUCUAAUGACUAAGUUGAGGAGAAUGUGGUAAUUAAUUAAUUGAUUGAGGGUACCUAGGUAGACUAAGGUGAUUUCAGAAUUAACAUACCAAGCUAGAAAGUCCAAUCAUGAUCAUAAAAGAGAGUCAAAGUAUGUACCUGAACUGCUUCUCAAACGCUAUCAUAAAACAUCAAAGUUAGUAUAGAAAUAUAACACAUAAUAUUUGUUUUAUCCAAGCAAAUAAAGCAUACAUCUAAGCACCCAAGAAUCACAUCAAGUAUGGAUAUAGUCAUCAAUAGCAUACGUGUCCAUAGAACUAUCGAAAGUAAAUGUGGAGGAGCGUAUCUGGACAACAUAGAUAACUUAUAAUGUGCUUCCACAAGACAUGGGGGUUAGAUAAAAGUUAUAAUAAUAAUUAGUAAAUGAAAGAAUUCUAGCAUGUUUGGUAUCUAAAUAACAUAGCAAAAAUGAACAAGAGUACACGAAAACAUCAAUUAUCACACGAGUCAUAUUGGCUAGUAUUUAAUCAAUAAACCAACAAUAAAUGACUAUAAACAUAUAAAAUGACAUAUUCAAAGAGACCCAAACAUAAAGAGCCUAGAACACAAGCUUACACUAAAUUUAGAAAACUAAAACAUGGAAUUUUAAAAGCAUAAAUUAGCAAACAAAUUGAUGGAAACUAAAUUUAGAUAACUUAAGAAUAUUUUUCUUAUCCUUCAAUUUAAAUCAGUAAGCCAACAAUAAAAAAUUAUAGAAACAUGGAAUAUCAAGAUCAAUGGGAUACCUAAACUAUAAUUUUUAAAAGAAAAUAAACUAAGCAUAAUAUCUACAAAGCAACUAAACUAACAUUUUUUUAAAAAUAAAUUAAACAUGACAUUAAUGGAGUAACCAAACUAAAUUAAAGUAAACUAAAAACAUUUAUGAAUUUUCAAACAUGGAAUCAGCUUUCUUAGUAAAUUAAAAUUAUUAAAAUAAAAUCUAAGCUUAAAAAUGAAUUAAAUACUAACUAAAGCAAAUCUAAAACCAAAUAUUUAACACAUAGGAUCAAUUAUAUUAACAAACUAAAAUUUUAUAAGAACACUUAAACCUAAAGUUGAAUUAAAAACUAACCAAUUUUUAAAACUAGAUCUUUAACCCAUAGGAUCAAUUAUAUUAACAAAUAAAUAAUAAAUAAUAAAUAAAUAAAACUCAAACCUAAAGAUGAACUAGAAAUGUACCAAAGUAAAUUCAAAACAAGAUCUUUAACACAUUAGAUCAAUUAUAUUGACUAACUAAAAAAAAAAAAAAAAAACACUCAAACCUGAAACGAUGUAUUAGAAACUAACCAAAGCAAAUUUAAAAUAGAGUCUUUAACACAUAGGAUCAAUUAUAAUCACUAACUUAAAUUACAAUUUUUGAAACAUGAACUAAUUAGUGUUGGAUUAAUUAAACUAAUUAACUAAAAAAAACUAUAAACUAGAAUACGGUGAAUCAAGAAUUCAAAUCAACAAACAUAAAAUAUGGGUACAAUGAAAUGAAAAUCUAUUAAACUAAUAAGACGGAAAUAUGACAAACUCAUGAACCCACAUUUUGAUCAACUAGGAAAUAGAAAUUAAUAGACCUGUAGCAUGGAUACAAUGAAAUGAGAUCAGUUAAAUUUAUUUGCCGAAAUUCUAAAAAACACAUACACUCAAAUAAGAUCUAAAUCUAAGACCAAGCAAAACUCAAACUUUCUCAAUCUAAUGCAAUGAAUCAAAACUAAAAUUAAAUAGAAAUCAAACCAUUUUUUUUUUAUCUAAUAUAAUAAAUCAAAGCUAAAACUAAACAAAAUCGAAUUUUCUUAAUUUAAUAUGAUGAGUCAAAGCUAAAAUUGAACAAAGUUCAAACCUUUAUAUAAUGGAUCAAAGUUAAAUCUAAAUGAAAUCCAUACUUCCACAAUUUGAUAUAACAAAUCAAAAAUAAAACUAGAUAAAAAAAAAGUCAAAGCCUUUCAACUUGACAUAGUGAAUCCAAACUGAAACGAAACAAAAUUUUAACUUUUCCAAUGAAACCCAAUAUAGAAAAAAUUAGCUUACCUUCUUUAGAAUAUAUGUAUGGGCCAUAAAGAAGUCACCUUGGUGCAUGUGUUCCUCACUUUGACGCCAAUGGACGACUUUCUAUGGUAGCAAAUGGAGAUCCUUUUUGGUGGUAACUUGCGUGUGGAAACCUAUGGUACAACCAAUGUCAUCUUUUAUUGUGCGUGUGGACCAAUUUCUUCUCGAGAACUCAUGUGUGUUGUGCUCAAAAUAUGUUGCCUGUGAGAAUCUAUUGGUAUACCCCACAUAUGGUUUCCUUGAGAGAAUCUGUGGUUGUGUGUGGGCGUUUUCUUCAUGACAGCAUGUGGAUGUUCCCAUCUAUGGUAGAUUGGUUGUGAUGCUUUAGUGCAUGGUCUCCAUAGGAAUAGUGUGUUAUGGAAAUUUGGUUUUUUUAUUGGUGCAUGUUGUCUAGACUUUCCCAUAUGCGUGGACUGUGUGUUCAUGCUUUUCUUUUCGGAUGGUCGCCUGUGUUAAUGUGUGGCGGUGUCUACAAUGAAAGAUACAACCCUUUCUCUCCUUCUGCGUGAUAGAAAAGUCAAUCCCCCAUGGUGCGACUAUGUUCCCUCGUCCUUUUUGAAAAAUUUUGGUGUUUUCCCCCCAAAAAAUCCCCUCCAAAAAUCUAAUUAUAAAUGUCUGCUUUGGCCUAAUGUGUGUGCUACUUUUUUUUUCCUUCUUUUUAUGGUUGUGCGUGCUUUUCUUGAUACGUGGCUUAUUUCUUAAGGAUAUGAUUCGCUCCCAAUUGGUGUCUCAGCUGAUUCAUGUCCUUUCAAUGGUCCCUGACAGUGGUGCCAUUUGAUUCGUGUCCAGCUGGUGUCCCUUGAUUGUGGUCCUCAGAAGGGAGUAAUCAAUAAAAUUUAUAACCUAUUACACCAUGUAUUAGGAUAGCCUUAGCUAGCAUAGCAUAGUGGCUCUAGGGUCGUUUAUUGGGAUGAGUUUUCACUUCACAAUUGAUAUUAAUUCAAGAGCUGAAUUGGUGCCUUUUCAUUUCAAGGUUAGCUUUAAAAGAAAACAUAAUCUUUGGUGGAAAAAGGUUUGGUUUUAAACUAACCAAAAAUAGUAACUGAUUUUACUUACAAAGAAAAGUGUUCUUUGGAGUUUAGAUCACUAGGCUCAGGUUCCUCAUACAAAAAGGAGAGUUCCGAUCAUUUGUUUCUUUUCCUCGCAUUAGAGAAUUAACAUAUAGUUAAUUCUCUAACCGGUGCGGUACAUAUGCUUCCCAUUAAUGGGUUCAAACACUAAAUACCUCUCACUGAUGCACCUUGCAAUGGCUCGUGCCUCUCACCUAGCAUUUAUCAUUCAAGGUGAUCUUUAACCUUGGAUUACCCAUCAAAAGCUCGCAAGAGAUAACUAAAGGAUGUCUCCUUAGAGUCCAAAAGCUUACCAAGUGUUGGUUAUUCUAGAAAAUCCUACCUUCAAACCACCUCCCAAAGGCUCGCAAGAGAUAAACAAGUGCAUCUCAAUGGAUGAAGAUCACUUGCCUUACCAAGUUUUGGCCCAGAUGAUUUAAUGACAUUUUAAGUUAACUAAAAAGAUAAAAACCAUUAACGGGUCACACUUUCUCUUCAUUAAAAACUAAAACAACAAAACUUCCAAUUUAUGCAUGAGGAAACUUACCUGGCUUUCUUCACUUCAAGAGAUGAAGAGCCUAGCCACUCAUCAUUUGAGGAAAAAUCCUCAGAGUUUGAUUUGCUAGAAAUAAAAAUAAUGAGAAAACAAAAAUAUAUAUAUGAAAAACAGAGCAAGUUCUCUGUAAUAUAUUUUUCUUCCUUAUACAAAAGGUUGUCUCUAAGAACAAGUUCCCGAGAUCUAUCUGAUUGUAAAUAAAAUUACAACUAUAUAUAAGAGGUUAUUCACCCCUUUGUUCUUUCUUAAAGACUAAGGAAUCCUAUGAUAGGUGGGUUACAAGGAGAGUUUGGGGAUUUAGACAUCAAAUAUCUAAAGCAAAAUAUCUCAAGAUGUUAGUCGGAAAUAUCAGGAAGCUUCAGGAGAACACCGCGACACUGUAUACUGAGAGAAAAACUCUCCGGGUAAGCUCUAUCAAAGGAUCCAGACAUGUCUGACUGGGAAAGUUGAAACGUCCUUCUCUCCCAUCCGGAUGUGAGAUAUCCGGAGAAAGUGAAAUGUCGGUCGGACAGAAUUCUUUCCCCGGGUGGAAUGAGUUGUGUUGCGCGUCGCAAGGGGGACCGUCUGCGUGUACAAGUUGUAGGGACCCCUCUCCCGGAUGACACCGAGCGCGUAAGGCUAUCCGGAUCAACUCCAUUCGGAUUCCCCAAGAGGACAUGUGGCGUGCUCCCCUAUCAGGACUCCCUUAGGGAGAAGCACACGACACUCGUGAACAUCAUACCCGGACGAUAGCAUGUCCUAUCCGGAUGUGUUGUCCGGAUCAUUGACUAAAGUGAGCAAGCCUUGCUACGUCAUUCGGACAGCUUGCCACAUACCAUGUUCCGUCGCCAUCUGAUGGUGUGUCCGAACGCCUUGUCCGGACAUCUUUUGCUCCUUGCAUUCCGGAUUUGCUUAUGACAAAGGACUUCAAAGCUUCGGUUCUUCAUGUUUCUGAGCUUUCCAUUGCUUUGCCAUGGAUUCCAAAGAACUCUCCUUAAUCACGGAUUGCUUUGGUGAUCAAAAAGUUAUCAAAACACAAAAACUUAACAUAGUUUGAUUAGAAUUGAUUGCAAGGGUUCUUAAUAUGUUAAUUGGGUUAAAAGGUGAUAACUACUACUCAAAAGUGUUUAUAAGAAUUAAUUACAAGCUAUGAAAUAACACUUUUUGAGUAGUAAUCAGGAUACAUCCUAGUUUUUCAUGGAAUUGAUAGUGGGUUGUUGUGCAUGAAUGCCACCAUUUCAACUAUGCUGUUGUUAUUUUUAAAAAAAAUAUGGAUUAUGCGCGAGUGGCAAUUCUCCACUAUGGAAAGUGGAUUGCUCCUUCAACCCAUGCAUGGCUACGUAUUCCUAUGUCUUUCUACUUGUGUUUGAUCCUCCAAAAAAAAUUUCGGUUUAGUGCUAGUAGAUUUUAAGUGGUGGAUCCCCAUUUUUUGAAAAUGAAGUGGCAGCCUCCCAUUUCAAGACAAAAUGGUAGCCUGCCUUUAAUCUUUGGAGAAAAAUCUGUGCAUGACCUUUUUUUUUCCCAAAAAAUCCGUGCAUGGUGUCCUUUAAUAUUUGGAGAAAAAUCUAUGUUGGAUCUUUUCUUUUCUAGAAACAUUUGUGUGGUCUUUUUUGUUAGCCCAAGGGUUCUUCUAAUCAAGUUUUGAUGAUAACAAACCAUGGUUAAGUGACUAAUUGGUUUAAUGAUUAAGAAUCUCAAACAUAAAAUCGAAAAUUCAUCAAAGGACCAAAUGGAUACAAGAUCGAGACGCUUGGAAGACUUGUAAUCAUAGGAAACUAAUGUAAGAUGAAUGCAUGAGUGCACUUAGGAUUUUCACACGUUUCAUGCAACUUAGAAAACCCAGUUUAUUCUUUAAAACUUCAUCCCAGUUUAUUCUUUUUAUGGUUGUGUGUGCUUUCCUUGAUACGUGGCUUAUUUAUUAAGGAUACAUCCCAGUUUUUCAUGGAAUUGACAGUGGGUUGUUGUGUGUGAAUGCCACCAUUUCAACUGUGCUGUUGUUAUUUAAAAAAAAAAAAAAUGGAUUGUGCGCGAGUGGCAAUUCUCCACUAUGGAAAGUGGAUUGCUCCUUCAACCCAUGCAUGGCUACGUAUUCCUAUGUCUUUCUGCUUGUGUGUGAUCCUCCAAAAAAAAUUUUGGUUUAGUGCUAGUAGAUUUUAAGUGGUGGAUCCCCUUUUUUUGAAAACUAAGUGGCAGCCUCCCAUUUCAAAACGAAGUGGUAGCCUGCCUUUAGUCUUUGGAGAAAAAUCUGUGCAUGACUUUUUUUUUCCCAAAAAAUCCAUGCAUGGUGUCCUUUAAUAUUUGGAGAAAAAUCUAUGUGGGAUCUUUUAUUUUCUAGAAAAAUUUGUGUGGUCUUUUUUGUUAGCCCAAGGGUUCUCCUAAUCAGGUUUUGAUGAUAACAAAUCAUGGUUAAGUGACUAAUUGGUUUAAUGAUUAAGAAUCUCAAACAUAAACUCGAAAAUUCAUCAAAUGACCAAAUGGAUACAAGAUCGAGACGCUUGGAAGACUUGUGAUCAUAGGAAACUAAUGUAAGAUGAAUGCAUGAGUGCACUUAGGAUUUUCACACGUUUCAUGCAAUUUAGAAAACCCAGUUUAUUCUUUAAAACUUCAAUUUCAUUAAAACCCGAGUUUUUAACUAAUGUACCUUAGGCAAAAUGUUUUAUAAUUGGCUUAAUAAUUCACCUAAAUACAUUUUCUAAGUGUUAGAAAAGAAAGGAAUUAAAAAAAGGUUUUCGGGGCAAAAAAGGCUCAACCGGUCGAGGCUAUGGUCAACCGGCUCAACCGGUUGAGGAACCAAUCGAUCGGUUGUGCUUGUCCGAUCGAAGACCAAUCGAGGGAUGCCAAAAAAUUUCUCUCUCUCCUAGUGGCCUUCUCUUCCCGGUCGAGGUUCGGUCUAGGCAACGGUAACAUGUCAAGCAUUAAAUGCUCCGACGACUAGUGAAUCGGUCGACCCCUAGCCCGAUCGGACGAGGUUGCCUUUUGCUGUUUUUGACUCCCGAGCUUAGAAACCUAUAAAUUGAGAGCUCCACUUCAUUUAUUGAUAAAAGAGAACACUUGCAUUCAAUAGUCUACCUACCUUUUCUUGAUCAAAAAGCUCUCAUUUCCUUCAUAGUGCAUUAAAUCAUCACUUGCAUAUCCUUUAGUGCACUAUUGUGUGUCAUCCUAGCUUUGUUUUGUAUUUGAGCUAUCCUUAAGCUAGGUUGAGGGAUUAUUUCUUAUAAAAAUCUGAGUGUUAAAGCCUUCAAGAGAUUUGAAUCUUGAAGAGAUUGUGUAAGAGCCCAUUGGAGCCGGAGUCCAAGUGUAAGAAGAUUGGAAGCUUGGUUGAAGCUUCAAGUUAGUGGAACCCUCACUCGGUUAGGAGGUUGAGGAGAGUGGACGUAGGUAAGGAAGUGUCGAACCAUUAUAAACCCGAGUUUGAAUUCUCUAACUCUAUCUCUUUAUUUUGCUUAUAUUGUGUUUGAAUUUGUUGUGAUUGAAAAGAUUUUAAAAACCUAAUUCACCCUCCCCCCUUUUGGGUUUUUUUUUCUUAAUUAAGCAUAACCUUUGUUUUCUAAUUUUCUUUUUAGGAAAAUCCAUGCGUGGUAUGUCCAAACUCUCCAAGUGGCAGUCUGCCUUCUUCUAAAAAAUUUGUUUCUAUUUCUUUAUUCGACUACCUUCCAUGUCUUCCUAAUGAGUGCUUGUGCUCAAUGGUCAAUCCCUGGUGGUUGCCUCCUUUUCCCAUAUAUACGUGUUGCAAAAUCAACAUCCCACUAUAUGUGGGUUGCCUCUAUGGCAAGUUCACAUUUCCCACAUGAAACCUAUGAGUUUCCACCAAAAAUUGCCAUGAAAAAGUCUUUAUAUGCAUCUCAUGCAAUAAAAAGUCAAGCCAAUACUCAUCUUAUCUCGAAAAAUAAGUAACCAAAAUCAAGAUCAUGCCUAAGUGAACUAUGCCAAAAGAAGUGUCCAAGUGACCUAUUAUGAAAAAAGUGCCUAAGUGACCUAAGGUGAAUGUGUGUAAGCUGGAAGGUGUCUAGGAUGUUUAGGACAAUGCCUAAGCCUAAAAUAGGGUUGCCAAGGGUCACAAUGGGGUUAGAUAAAUCUCUCAAUCAGAGUCUCCAAGGUGGCUCAUAAAAGAUAAGCUACACGAGUAAUGAUGGGCCACCAGGGAAUUAUUGUAAAGCACCAAACGAACACAUAAUAGGACAUGUGUUAGAAUGAAAAAAUGGAGGGUUUACAAGUGGUCUCAUGGAUGAGCUUGAUAAUUUAAAUGACUCACAUAAUGAACGUAUGUGAUGUUUCUCUCCAAUAACAAGCAAAACAUCACUAGCAAUAUGAUGAAUGUCUCCUAAAUCACUUGAAGUAGUCCUAGCAAAUCAAUUAGAAAAAUCACACAUAUUGCUCUAAUGUAAUAUUAUAUACAUCUGUCAAUGAAUGGGAGAACUAAUGACACAACCAUCAUGUUGAUAUCUCGAACCCUCUAAUCUCAUAUGUAGGUGGGAUCACACUUAGAAACUCAUAACACAGUAAUGACCAAUCUAAGUCAAAAUGUGUUGGUGAUCGGAGGCCCAUGAAUAUGAAGUUCUAGGAUGAUAAUGACAUCUUAUAAAGUAAUGAUCAUCUCCUUAAUAGAUAGGUGAAAUGUGUGUGUCUUAGGACACCAUCUCUCAACAAGACUUGUGAUCAAUCCCCAGUCUAGUGUAACAUGCCUAUUAUGACAUCCAUCGUAAAAUCUAGACUAGAUAAUAUAAGGACAAAUGUGAGGGUUCAUCUCCCUUUCCCACAUAAAUUUAAAAAAUUAUUAUUGACAAGUUAAGACCAAACUAAGUUGCAAAAUAUAAAUAAGUCCAUUAGAUAACAAAUUUAUGUUUUCUCAUUUUCUCAUUUUUAAAGAGAUAUUAUGUGCUUCCAUGUACAUACAUGCUAAAGUCAAUUAUACGAGACUUAUAUCCAUCUUGUAGAACCAAAUCGAACCUAUCUAAUAGAUCCAGAUUAGAAGUAUGUCCUCUAUACUCCAUAUUUAUAACACAUUUAUAAAGAUAAAUGCUAAAAAAAUGUUAAAGAUAUAAAUUUAAUGAACCAUACUUUAUGAUUUUAAUUCUCAAUUAUUGUUCAUAUUUAUAAGAGAAAAGUUAAAAAAAUUGAUAGAGUUUUCCCUCUAUCAUGGACAUUAUCCCAAAUAAAAAUAAAUUGAUUAUGCAAAUUACAUUAAUAUUUGUAACCAAAUGAUCAAUAACUAUCUUGUAUCAAUUUAGUAAAUAAAUUUAAGUAUAUCUUUUCAUUUAUGACUAACAAAUAACUCAUACUUGUCCAAUAAAAGCCACACCUAAUUUCUAAAAUUUUGUCUUCACCUCAAGUGAGUGUUACAUUGAGAAAGAAAAAAUAUGAAAGAAAAAAUGAACACCUUUUUCUUUUAAUAAAAAAAGGCCAUAACGAAACAUUAAAUCUCACUGUUACACCUAUCUUCAAUGGAAACAUGAGGAUGUGAAUGGUGGCGGUGAUAUUCUUUGCUUGAAGCUCAUAAACAAAUAUUCCUUACUAAGCCUAUGCCAUUUAGUAUUUCAAUAGUGGACCCCCCCCCCCCCCCCCCCCCCCUCCUUGCAUUUCAGAUUUAGCAAACUUAGAACCAAAUAACAAAGUGCAUUUGAACCCAUAAAGAAGUAAUGAGACUCUCCUAUAUUGGCAAUAGAAGAAAUUUUUGGAGGUAUAGGAGAUUCACGGAUGAAGAAGUUGGGCCCCAAUUGAGAUAAGACCCAAGAAAAGAUGGGGUAGAGAGGGAUGGUUGGAAAUUGUAAAGUAAGAUUUUCAAAAUGUAGUUGAUGACUAAGAUUUUGACAAUUUAAAAAAGGUUUAAAAAUGUAGUUAGCAAUCGGGGUUUUGUAACAUUUAAAAAAUAAAAUAAAAUCUCAGGCCACAUGGUAGCCCAUGUGAUUCAGAAGCUUGAGAAUUAUUUUAUAAGAAGACUUAAUUUGUGAUUUUUUUAUAACUAUAUUAUUUUUUUUCUUAACACACGAAAAAAAUUAUGAAAUAAGACAAUUUUCCUAAGAAAGCAUGUAAGUGACUCUUGGUUAUUUUAUUUAACUUCUUCUAGUUUGGAGAGGAUUAAUACCUUUGCUUUUACUCACUUGCUUGGAUAUGUACACGUUGUUCAUGUCACUUUUCAUUUAAUUUUCUGAUUAAGGGAAUUGGAACCGUACGUAACUGUCUUUAUUCCCUCUGAAACUUGGACUUGGAGUUGGACUUUCAAUCUCAUCAGUCGUGUUUCCAUAAAAAAGAAGAUGGAUUAACCAAUUUUCCUAUGCCUACUAAUCAUACACAAAACUCCACUUCCAAAUAAAAAGGAAUGGGAUAUCACUUGUUAAUAGUGGCUAAAGACUAUUAAUAACCAUGCAAAGAAAUGUCACAUUUUUUGUUCUACGCAAAUUUUAUUCAUCAACUACUAGAACCAUUUCAUACAAUAGUAGCUUUUCGAUCCUUUGAUAAAUGGACACUUGAUGUGAUAACACCAACUACACCUAUAUAUUCAAGCAAUCAUGCGUAUAUAAUAGUGGAUAUGGAUUACUUCUCUAAAUGGGCAAAAGUUUUGUCAUUCAAGGAAAGUGAACGAGGAAACACAAGUUUACUUUCAUCGGAACUAAUAUUAUAUAUUGAUAUGACUUCCCAUUAUUACUUACGAUGGAAUAUGCUUCCAUAAAAUGGCCUAGAUGAACAAACUAUCCAAGAAGUUUGGGAUCAAAUAAUAUAUAUAUAGUUCAUGUGUGAUUCUUUGGUUGACAACCUUGUUAAGGGGUGAGUGAAGCACUUUGGGCAUACCACAUACUACAUGCUAGACUUCCACCCAAGCUACCCUAUAUUCCUUAUGAACAAAGUAGAAGUUGUCAUCUCUCUUGAAUACCAAAUCCUUUCACCUAAUAAUGCUAUCUAAAAAGGUCUUAAAAAGGAUAAAAAUGCGCAUAUUUGAAUUUUUGAAUUAGGAGUGCUACUUAAAAAGAAGCUAGAUAUACAAUAAUAGAAUGUUAUCAAGCAUAUCUCUUCAAAGUUUUUGACCAAAAAAUAUAUGAUUUCUCAUUUUAGGUAGGAGACUUAGUACUCACUAUUCAAAAACCAAUUAUCAUUACUCAUAAAAACUAAUAGAAAGUUUGGGCCAAAGUAGGAUGGACCUUAUAUUAUGCAACAAUUAUGCCUAUAAAAUUGUUGCAAAAGAGGUUUUAGAAUCAAAUCAAUGAAUGAAAAAUUAUUAAAGCAUUACUAUGCUUGAAGGCUAGUCAUUUUCCCUUAAAGUGCAAUAUUAAGUUGCAUAGUACUAUGUGGAUCCGCAUUUUUCACAUGCGUUCCCACUCAUUGUCGAGACUCACUUUUUAGAAGUGAAAAAUUAGUUUUAUUAAAGUCGAAGUUGCCACUGGGGAUUUGAACCCUAACAAAAGGUUCAAUUUAAGGAUAAAAAUAUCGAUAAUCACAUAUAUAUAUAUUGGUACUUUGAUUUUAUGAAUAUAUUGAAGAAAUAUGGACAAAUAUUUUGACACAAAAUAUGUACAAAAUAAAAAUUAUAUAAAAAGUAAAAAUAAAUAUUUUAAAAUUAUUUUUUUAAAUAUAUAUAUAUAUAAUUUGACAUAUUUGAUAAUAAUAUAUAAGGGUCUCCAAAAAGCCCGUGGCCCGCUUUAGGCCCGGUCCGACCCGACAGGCUAAAGCCCGGCCCAAGCCCGCCGGGCCCAAGCUCGGCCCGAGCCCGUUUAUGGGUGGGCCGGGCCGCGAGCCCGUAGGCCUGCUCCUUUAAAAAAAAACUACAAAAAUAAAAAGUAUUAAAAAAAAUAUUCAUUUCAAAAUUUUAUUCAUUGAAUGUAUAAUUACAUUUGAAAAUGUGGGAAAAGUUUACAUCACUACAAAAUAAAUACAUCCCAACUAGGUUGGCACCUAUUUAUUUGUCAAUCAUCUGUAUUUUUCAACCACAAAAAAUAAAAAUAAAAAUAUAAUAUACAUUUAGUCAUUAUUUUCUGGCGGUGAUGGCGAACUAUCAUGCAUCCAUGAAGAUCUUGAUAAUUUUAAAGAUUCCAUAUCGGUAAGCAUCUUUGUUUCUCGAAUGGAAUCAUACAUCCUUUUAUCUGCUAUUUCCCAAUCUUUCACACAUAUCCCUGCUUUAAUAACAUCUGACGCUAAGUUGCAUCGUUUUUUACUAACUACUCUUCCACCUGCACUAAAAGCAGCUUCUGAUGCAACUGUACUCACAGGAACUGUUAGUACAUCACGAGCAAUUAUAGAAAGCACAGGAUAUUUGUGUUGAUGUGAUUUCCACCAUAUUAAAAUAUUAAAAUCUUCUUGAUCUUCAAAUGAAAUUAUAUCAGUAUUAAGAUAUUUAUCUAAAUCAGAUGUAUUAUUUGGAGAAUUAUUUGUUGUCUUUUUUCGACUUUUCAACAUUUCUAGAGCUCCUUUAUAAAAAGAUGAGGAGUUUGUAGAUGUAGGUGGUAAUUUAAUAGUAUUAAUAUCAUUACCAUAUUUUUCUUUAUAAUAGUUAUAUAAAUUAUAUAAUAAUGAAUUUAUUUCAUUUUUAAUUUCUUCAAUUUUUAUUUGGUCAUUAAAAUAAAUAAUUGUUAACCAUUCAUCCAAAGCUUCAAAUUUCAAUCUAGGGUCCACAAUUAAAGCAAUAUAAAAAAUUAAAGGUAUUUCUCCCCAAUAUUUUCUAAAUUUUUAUAUCAUUACAAAUAUUGUAUCAUUAAAUAUUUCAAAACUUAAAUAUUUUUGAAGUACAAUAAAAAUAUUAGUUAUUUGCGUAAUAACUCGAUUUGAAGUUGGAUAAUAUACACCACAAAAAAUGUUUGUUGAAGUAUCAAAAAUUUCAAAAAGAUCUCUUAAAACAUCCGCAAUAUGCCAAUCAUAAUCAUUUAAUGCAUAAAUAUCUGCUUCAUAAUCAUUGUUAAUUAAUUGUAUUUCAUAUAAUUCGACUACUUUUCUAUAUUUUGUAAUAUUUUCUAAAAGUUUAUAUGUGGAAUUCCAUCUAAUAGCCAUAUCCAAAUUUAUAUUUUUUCUUUUCAUAUUUAACAUUUUGCAACAAUCAAAAAAUAAUUCAUGUUUUGCUUGAAAACUAUUAAUACUAUAUGCAAUGCCUCUAAUUUUUUUCCAAUGUACUAUCAACAUUUUUUAAUCCAUCCUUUACAAUUAAAUUUAAAAUAUGUGCACAACAACGCACAUGAAAUAUUUUAGCAUGAUCUUCUUUUACUUGCCAAUAUCGUUUUAGUCUAUGUAUUGCUGCAUCAUUAUUAGCAGCAUUAUCUAAUGUUAUUGUCAAUAUUUUAUCACGAAUGCCUAAAUCUAUAAUUUCAUCAUUUAUUAAAGAUGCUAUAUUUUUACCACUAUGUGGAGUAUUUAUUAAUUUAAAUAAAAUUAUUCUUUUAUUUAAUUUCCAUUCAUUAUCAAUGUAGUGAACAAUUAUAUAUAAAAAACCAGUAUGAGUUAAAGAUGUCCAAAUGUCAGAUGUUAAACGAAUAUUUCCUUCAAAAUUUGCAAAAUUUUUUUUUAAAAUUUCUUUUUGUGUAUAAAUUUUUUUCAUAAUAUCUCUUUUAACUGUAUUUCCAGAUCAACCUUUAAAUUGAGGAUUAAUACCUCGUUGAAUUGUUCUUGCAAAAUCAUGAGUUUCCAUCAUGUUGAAAGGUUGUUCUGCUCUUAUUAUAUAAUCAAUCAUUUCUUCACAACAGUUAGAUUCAUCAUAAGAAAAUGUUUUUAAAUUUCCACUUUCAUUUUUACUUAAUUGCAUAUAAUUUCUAAUAUCUACAUUAUUUUUAGUUUUACAAUUUUCAUGAUGUCUUUUUAAAUGACUUGUAUCUGCAUUUGAGCCACCAGUAAGAAAUUUAUUACAAAUUUUACAUUUUGCUUUUAUUUUUUUUUUAUUAUUUUCUAAAAUUAUUUCUAUUCUAUCAAAAAAAUUCCAUAUAUUUAAAGUAAAUUUUUUGUUUGAUGAUAUUUCAUCACAUGGACUAGACGAAGAAGCACUUGUCAUAUUAUAAUUAUUGAUAAAAUAUUAUGCCAAAAAUAAUAAAGUAAUAAAUAUAAAAAAAAAUGUAACAAAAAAAAUAAAGUAGUAGGGGUGAAGUAUGUUACUCAAUUAGAGAACCUAUGCAGAAAUUCCUAGCAAAUUUGAACUCUUGGAGCCACCAAUGCUUGUUUUGCACCAUCAACAAUAUUGUAUAAUUUGAGGGAAAAAUAAAAGAAUUUAAAAUAUUGUAGAAUGUGAGAGAAAUAGAGAGAAUUUGAUGAAAAAAUGAAAAGGAAGAAAAUGUAUUUAUAGGAAGGUUAAAAAUAAUAAUAAUAAUAAUAAUAAUAAUAAUAAUAAUAAUAAUAAUAAUAAUAAUAAUAAUAAUUGGCCAUGUGACCGUUGGAGGCUUAGCUCCAACGGUCACAUGGGCUGGAGCUAGGCUCCAACAGUCACAUGACCGUUGGAGCCUUUAAUUUUUUUUUUUAAAAUAAUAUACUUUAUUUUUAUAUAUAUAUAACUAACUCAAUUAAUAAACAUAAAAAGAAUAUAGUUCAGUUGGUUAGAACCUUGAAGUUUAAACAUGAGGGGAGGGGUUUGAAUCCCUCCCUCUCCCUUAGGGGCUUUUUUAAAAGCCAUUUUGGCUUAUUUCAAAAAGCCUGUCGGCCCGACCCGCCCUGCAGCCCGCGGGCCUAGCAUUUUAGCAUGGCCUGGUCUGUUGACUAGUCAAAUGGCUCAUAGGCUCGGCCCGAACUGGGCCGCGGGCCUCUUAUUUACGGACCGGCCCGACCCGGCCCGCCCGUUGGAGACCCUUGAUAAUAUCUUCUAUAUUAAGUUACAUUAUAGUUUAUUUUACAAUAUUAUUAUGAUAAUAUGUCUAAUUUUAAAAUAUAUUUAAUAUUAAAAUUAUGAUCUAUUUUAAUUUAAAUGUAUUCAAUGAUAUCAAAUAAAUAAUAAUAUAUGUAUAAUUCUUUUAUUAUUUAUAUUUAUUAUUUUUAAUAAAUAUAUAGAUUAUAUAAAAAAGACCGGAUAUAUCUUUUCAAAUUUUGUAUCGCUCUCCAAGGAUAUUAGAUGUAUGGGAAUUUGUAUUGCUAUCUACGGAUACGUUGAUAUAUGGGUGAUUUAUCAGGAUAAUUAGAAAUUCUAAUUAUGUAAGCAGGUACGGAGUUCUGUGUCGGUGCGAUCUUGUCGACAACAGCUCCAAAUUGUGCAUCUUGCUCAUAGAGAGUAGCGGAAUGCACCAAUCGUAGGCUCAGAGUACCACUGAGUCGUCUGGCAGAGACCCAACUGAAGGUGCCUGUGUUGUUCCUGAUCUGAUCAGGCUUCAAACUACAAGGUGGAAUACUGGUUCCCCUAUAUCAGAAGCUGGAGAUACCCACCCCAUAUGCUCGUCUGGAUGUGCUCCUACCCUUUGAAGCCUUCUUCCGAGUCAAGUCCGAAUUGAUAAGGCUAGUGAGUUCCCAACCAACUGUACUCAGCAUGCUGCCAGGUGGAGACCCUCCAUAUUUGAUGGCUUCCUAAUAUUAAAAUGCUGACCACUGGUCUUCAUGUUCCACAGGCUUAAUUGUGUCCUUUGCUGAAAGAAUGGAUAGUGAUCCAUUUUAACACAUGAUUCACGCCGUCUUUGCCAUUCUUCAUGGUCUAGCCCUUUUAUAUAUAUGCUUCCUGAACUGUUGCUAUUAAUAAAAUGUGGUAUCUAUCCCGUACACCUUCCUGAUGGCCAGCGAAUGCAGAAGCUACAGAAACGGUUCCAUCUUUUGCUUCCGCCACUUUGGCAUCCUCCAUGAUGAGAUCGAAGGUGAAUAAUCAUAUUCUGGGGAUUUAUGUCCUGGAUAUUCUCAGUAAUGCCCAAUUUCCUGGUGCCGGCCUCAUUUCCAUGGGAACUGAUGGAUAACUUAAGGCUUCUACCAUCUGCGUGGUUCGCUUCUAACACAGGAAACUUCACGGCUAAAAGCAAGAUACCAAGAACAUCAAGGCUGUGACAAAAAUUAGUAUUUUUAACUUGUAGGAAUUUGAAAGGCAACCAACCAUCUAGCUCUGUUCUUAAAGCUCCCAUAGGAGGAUCAGAGGCUGGAUUGCUCAAGAUGAACUCAUCCAUUGUUGCACUUAAAAAGAAUUGGCAUGAAUUGUGGCCGCUCUAAUAGGUUCCCUAAACCAUCAUCCAAGUGGGCUUGCGGAAGGUAGCGAGUUUAAAACACCUAGGGCGAUGAACAGUGGACUGUGAUGCUCACAAAAGAGAAAAGGAAGAAUUCAAUAAUUCCUAAGAAUCCAUUUGCCUGUCAUCCAAAUUUUUAUAUUCUCUUCAGUCUGACGCGUUAUGCCAUAUAUUAAAAAUAGCGGCUUCUUCCAAGCCGAGACAGACUGUGCAAAGUUCGCAAGGCCAAUCAUCACCAUAAUCUGAAGUUGGCCUCCUCAAUCGCAGCUUGUAUCCGAAUGCUCACUUCACGGGAUGGAUUGUAAUGAAAACUAAUCUCAGUCCCAGCUAUGGCAGCAUCCUCACUUGACAGCAUUUUCUGCAUAUUCUAGAACAAAGCAAUAAACCCUCAAAGGCUCCUUCGGAUCAGAGUUAGAAGACUGUCCCUCAGGAACGUGAACACUAUGGUGGUUCUGAUAAGCAGUGAUAUUGCAUUAGAGCCUUUUGGAACAAGAGGAUCUUUUCAGGUGGAAACUGUAAACUGCUUCAUGUUGGGCUGCAACCUUUUCUUCAAGCAAUACUUUCUUUCUGUAUCACGACUUAUGUUGCUUCCGGAGCCAUCCCGUGUGGACUGCCCUUCAGUGAAAGAAUAUGUGUGUUGACAUGUUGGAUUGUAAUCUUUGUUCCACUCUAAUGGCUUUUGGUCCUCCUCUUUCUCUUUAUGACAGAGAACCAUUUAGUGAUCCAUCUCUAUAUUGUAGCAUUGCUGGUGCUUUGCAAUACUACACUCUCACCAAGCAUAACAUCUAUUUUUCCGUGACCAAAGUAUGUCGGUUUAUGCAUGCGCAAACUCUUAUUCAUUGGCAAGUUGUCAAGCGUAUCUCAUGAUUUCCCAAAGCCACAAGUUCUUAUGGUCUUUCUGUUCAAGCUUACAAUGAUCUAUCUUUUCUUGGUUAUACUGAUGUCGAUUGGGCUAGUUGCCCUGAUAACAAGCACAAUACUAGUGGGUACAACACUUUUCCUGGUCCUAAUCUCAUUUCAUGGGCAUUUUCAAAGCAGAAGGUUGUGUCUCACUCCAAUAACGAAUCUGAAUAUAGGGGACUCACUAAUUAAUGUUGUUGCCAAGGUCACUUGGAUUG
RNAcentral lists this long non-coding RNA (51337 nucleotides) under Vitis vinifera (wine grape). RNAcentral describes it as "long non-coding RNA (VVIN_LNC001392)". The record is from RNAcentral. Lineage: Eukaryota; Viridiplantae; Streptophyta; Magnoliopsida; Vitales; Vitaceae.